CUUUCUCAAGUAAGCACAAGGGUUGACAAUUAUGCUUCCAAGUUUUGGCAUUGCUCCAGCCCCUAUCGUCCACUCCUCUAGCCAAUACAUUGAUUUCAGGUGCAAUACCUUGAGCUCCGGGAAACCACAAGAGCAAACACAAGCCAGUUUUCUUCCUGAAUAUGAGUUCUGCUUCAAUUUCAGCACUUGAAGGUGUGGAAGCUUGUCUAGUGUUAGCAUGGUAUCCUCCAAUAACUCAGUAUUUGAUAAGCUUAGAUGGAUCAGACUUGGAGAAGCUGGUAUUUAGACAGGGCCAUCCGAGAGAGCUACCACCUCUUGGUUUCGUUCACCAGCUUCAAGCAUUCAAGUUUAAUAAUGAUUAGUUUUAGAUUAGUUAAAAUGUAAUCAUGAUUAAGAUAAAUAUAUAUAUAUAUAUAGCUGCUGUACUGAUAUCAUGGAUUAAGUGUUGAGAAAUAAAAUUCAUUAAGCAUUUCCAGAACUCUUGAUUUUCUUUCUCAGUAACCAAGCAACUUCAAUCACAUUUUUUUUUUCCAACAAUGAGUUCUCAAACCACUCAGGUAUCAUUUUCAGACAUUCUUGGCCUUGUACUCACCAUCAAAAUGGAUUGGUUGAGAGAAAACAUAGGCAUAUUGAUGGUUGUCGAAGCCAGCAAAAAUAAACACCUACUCUAAAUAAAUUGUGUAUAGUAAUUGAGCAGGGUCGUGUCCACGAAAAUCGGUAAUUAUUUAAAUCUUUUUAAAAUGUAAAAUACAAAAUGGGGGAAUUGUUGACGAUAAUAAAAAUCAAAUUAAAAUAACAAGAAUGCAAAUUAAAGUUGUAAUCCAAAUUGGAGAAAGCUCUGGUUGAAGGAAUUAACUCAGCUUGAUUCGACUACUGAUCAUUGAUUCAAAUAAAUAUUAUUACUACUUAUGAAUAGACCGGUUAUAGCUACUGAGACCCUCUAAUAGCCAGUCUCUCCUUAACUAGCCGAUAACCAAGGUACGACCUUUGGUUAUUUCCCUAAUCAAUAGACAACCCUAGAUACGAUCAUAAGAUUUAAUCAAUUGACAGUCUGAAAAACCAGAGAGACCCAAAUCCUAAUCAACAAACACAUACGAUGGUUCAUUUAAAUUAGAUUGUUUAUUCUCACAACACAACUCUCUGCUAUGUUAUUUGUCACAAACAUUAAAAUUUUCAUACGAUGAAUCCUUUAAUUGACAUUAGAUUAAGUUGAUAAUUAAAUAGUGGCCAAUUAUCUAAUUAACAAAAAUAAUCAUGAUAAUAAUUCAGAGAAUAAACAAAUACCCAAAAAGUAAUAAAACAAUUAAAGCAUAAGAAAGAUCUCACAGUAGUGAUGAAUCAAAGCUUCAUUAACCUUCAACCAGAAUAAUAAGUUUAGUUCUUCAUAGAGAGAAGAGAAAAAUUUAGAUCUAGGGUUUUCUCUUUUCCCCAAUAAGUCCCUUUUUUCACAAUAGAUUCCUCCCUUAAAUACUCUCUCUCUCUUCUCCUCUAGAAUUCUAUUUAAAAUAAAUACUAAUAUCUGAAAUAUUAAAUUCGUAAUUACAAAAAUAACCAAAAAUACAAAACACGUUAAACUAAAAACUGCAGGUCCGUAGUUGACAGCACAAGCCCACGCCUUAUCAACAAAGUUCUUCUGACGCUCAUAAUUUCUCCAAGAGAACAAUAAUCCUUAAACAUCAUCUUGUAGCUCAAUUUUAUCACCAAUCAAUAGAAUUGCACCUACAAAAGUAAAACACAAGUAAAUCACUAUUAUUAAGUGCAAAACAUCGAUAUUAAGGGAAGUAAACAAUGCAAAACUAGUGCAUAAAUUGCACUCUAACAAUUAAGUUUGACUCUGUUGGCUCAAGCUCAACUUCCUUUUAAAUUCUGGUGGGAUGCAUUCCAUACUGCUCUAUAUCACAUCAAUAGAUUACCAUCUUCUGUUUUCAAACUUUCGACCCCAUAUGAGAAGAUAUUUAAGCACAAACCUGAUUAUGAUUUUCUCAAAUGUUUUGGUUGUAUUUGUUAUCCUUACUUGAGAGACUAUAACAAACAUAAGUUUGCCUACCAUUCCAGUAAGUGUAUAUUCAUUGGUUAUAGUCCUUCACAAAAGGGUUAUAAAUGCUUACAUUCUUCAGGUCAUGUCUAUGUGGCAUGACAUGUUAUCUUUGAUGAGUCAACCUUUCCUUAUGCUACUGAAUCUGUUUUUCAUAGUCACACAAAUUCUGAUUCUCAUUCUUCAAACUUAUUUACUCCACAGCAUGUCUAUUAUCUUUCUACUUUACCUGUCAUACCAGUAUUUCUAAAUAACAACACUGAUAAUCUAAACUCUACAAAACUAAAAUGCCAGCUUUUUGGUGUUAGCGAUAGGAAACAACUUACCACAACCAUUAAUUAUCCAUAAUUUCAUUGUUUAUCCUCAGUUUUCUUCAUAAAUGUUACAGCAUUCUUCAUGAGAAAGUGCAAGGGCAUCUCAAAAGUUCUGAAAUAAUACCUCAAUUCUAUUGCAAAAAUAAAUAAUCUCAAACAAGAACCAAUAAUCAUAUUUCGUUACUGUCAAACACAAUGCAUCUGAGCAAAACAUUGGAAGCCAACACCAGAAUACAUAUGAAUAAACAAUUAAAGAUAGAGAAAAAAGGCUUAAACCUUGGGGGAAAAAAGUGAAAAAACAUGAAAGACAAAUUACACAUGUGCAGUAACCAUCGAACUUAUCAGUGACAGCUGCAUCCAUUACAUUGCUCCAACAACACAAUGGCAAACCACCAGUUUCAAAUUGAGGAUAGCUCUCGAGAAUGAGAAAGUGUCCAAAACGUCAUAAAUAGACAUGUUCCUAUUGUGCAUAAUUUACAUUAUAGGCAAAUAUUCUUAUACCAUCAAAGGCAAAACAUGACACUAACAAUUGGGAAUCCACUCCCCCCUUUUCCUUUUUUACCCUCAUAAUUAAAAUAAAUAAAUAAUAUUUAAUAAAAUAAAUAAUAUCAUAUUUAUUAAAAAUAAUAAUUAUAAACAUAUUUAUUUUAUUAAAUUUAAUAAAAUAAAAAUAAAUAAAUAUUAUAUUUAAAUUAAUAAUAUUAAACAUUAUUUUAAUAAAUAUUAAUUAAUUAUUUAAUUAAUAAUAAUAAAUAUUUUAUUCUAAGAAAAUAUUAAUUUUGUACUAUAUUAUCAAUAAUAAUGUUUCAUUUGUGUUGCUAUUAUUAAUAAUUUUUAUUCACAUAAUUUAAAUUAAAAUUAAUAAAAAAUUAUGAUUUACAUAAUUAAGAAUAUUAUUAAUUAUUAUUAAUUUAUAAAUAUAAUAAAAUAUUUAUUUUAUUUUUCAAAUAUAUUUUUUAUUAAUUUUGUAAUUACAAAUUAUAAUUCUUUAAAUAAGGGUAAAAUUGUAAUUUAAAACUAUUUACUUCCAAUCCAAGACAAUGUAAACACAUAAAUUGGAUUCUGGUUUCAAUUCCAUUCUCUCAUUCCAUUGUAAGUAAACAACCUACUCCAACUCCCACUCCAAACUCCCAAUCUUAGGAUUCCCACUCCUCAGGAUUCCCACUCCAAUCCAAAAUGUAAACGCAUAUAAAAGUAUUUUGAGCAUUACUGGUCAUUGUCUUUCUAUGAGCCACUUAUUUUGAGCAUUAGCGACCUUAUAAGGAAUCAUGCCUUUUCAGGAUCGUUUUCUUUCAUUUCCCUAUUGUCGUAGUUAAUUAAAUAAAGAACGAACAGCUGAACUUGGUCUAUUUCGAGGAAGACCAAGGCUUCCAAUACUAGAGGAACUUUGAAGAAAAUUAAUUGGAAGCCUUCAUUCAUCUUUGAAGAAAAUUACGUGCCAACGUAACCAAGGCUUUUAUUCAUCUUCGGACUAUGAAUUUAUACAAAGACAUUAACAGAAAAUAACAAAGACACAGCUAAAUGAUAGCAGCAAGUGCUGAUUUAGUGAACCACUUUUACAAGUAAAUAAAAAGUAAAUAUUUAUUUUGACUAUAACAACAACUACCCUCUUGAAUAGGACUCUACAGCAGCCACGUGACAACUAAUUUUUCCAUAAUAUUAUUAUUAGUAGAAGUAGAUUUUCAAACUAGUCUUGAUAGAUUUCAAAGUUGUAUUAUCAAUGUAUAAGUAUCUAGAUUGUAACUAUAUUUUUAAAAAUAAAAUAUUUUAAUUAUUGCACAGUAAAUGUAGAAGAAUAUCUGUAAAAUAAUAUUAUUAGGACUAAGAAAAAAUAUUAUUUCAGAUACGUUAUUUAUUUAUUAUUGAAUUAAUAAUUUAUUAAUUUAUUGAUAAAUGAAUAUUUAUUAAUUUAAAGAAAGACUUUUUUGGUUUUAUGAAGAGUUUGUUUGGUACAUGCACACACUUAUAAAGAAACAUAAAAAGUGCUUCCUCAAGUCAAUGGUAUUUGCUCUAAUCGCUACGAUUCAUAAUAAUAUAGCUUAGUUAGGAAAUUUGUAAUUAUAAUAUGAUUCUUUUAAUACAACUUUUCAAGUAGAGCUUAUUUAAGUAGAGAUUUUGUUAAUAGAGGUAUUAUAAAUAAAGAUUCCACUAAAAAAAAUUUAGUUGUUUGAUUAUAAUGUCCAAAUUGAUGAACUUUUAUUCUUUUGUUAACAUCUGUUUGUUUUACUUAAUAAUAAAAGUUUAGUUUACAAUUACACCGGUAUCAAAUCAGCAGAGCAUUGUUGUUUUACUUUAUAAAAGCAUCGGCAAGAGUUUUCGAUUGUUGCAACUUGCAAUGCACGCGGUGAGAGAAAAUGAGAAUCUUGUUUAAUUGUCAAUAAUGACAAACCUAAUCCUUUCAUUAGGAGUAAUUUAAUAAUCGUUUGUUAUAAUUGAAUAGGUAUAAAGAAAGGACAAUUCUAUUCAUAGAUUCGACUUAUUUUUUUGUUUAAAGUAAGUAAUCAUUCAACCAUCUUCAUUUGCCUCUGGCCAAUGCCCUAGUAGAUUAGUUGAAGCGUUAAUUACUUAAUUCAGAUAAUUACAACGUCCUUUUCGCUAAUUAAUUAUGAUUAUGUACAUUUUCAUAUAGCAAGUGGCAUUGUAGAUAUAAACUAAGUUGCUAUUUCAAUACGUUAAUCAAGUGAUUCUCCUCAUUGUCAUCAGCGUCAUACCCUCUAGGAAAAUAGCUCAAUUGUUUCCAUGCAUUGAUUUUCAUUGGUAUGUGAUUUCAGAUUUCUUAUGAAAUUCUUUUGAGCUUUCCUUAUUAAUUGAUUUUCAAUUAACUUGUGAACGAUUUUAUACCCUCUCUUUUUUUUUUUUUUAAGUACUCUAUUGAAAGCCAAAGUUCCUUUGGCCAGUUAAUUUAGAAGUGAAGGAAAGAAUAAAGUUAGUCCUCGACGUCUUUUGAAAUUAGAAAUACAUUUUGAAUGCUUUAAUAGAUGCAGAGCAAACUGGCUCGAUAUCUAACUAUUUUAAGAGCUAAAAUCAUUUAAUAGAAGUUGUAGCAUUAAAAAAAAAAAAAACUGGCUUGAUAUCCAAUUUUGUUAUUGAAUAUGUCUCAUGUGAGAGUAAAAAAAAACUGGCUUGAUAUCCAAAAUUUAAAGGUAACUCCUUGAAUUUGAUUGAAAAAUUAUUGAGACGGACAAGUUUGGACCAUUGUUCGAGACUGAAACUACACAUCAGUCUUAGAAAAUUGUAAUUUUGUUGGCUUAUCAUGAUUUUGAUCGCCUCACAUUGAUUUUCCUAUGGCGUCUCUGUAGAGUGGCUAUGCUUACAUUUUUAGGUAUUUAAUUCUAAAAAUUAACUUAUUAGAUGGAAGGAACAAUUCUACCUGUAAAUCCAAGUGGCUUCCCUUUACCAACUCAUACAAGACACAACAAUAAUCUUCUUCGGAAAAAACCACCGUCGGAGGGCUAUUUUCGUUCAACAUAUAUGAGUUGUUCCGCCACCAUAUUUUAAGGGUUUGCUUCUAAUACAACUUGGGGGAGCUAGGGCUAAGAUUUCUAAGUAUCAACAUAAAAACCUCACCUAUUGGAUAGAAGGACCAAUCCUACUUAUAAGUCUAAAUGACUAAUUUUUGAGAACACAACUCAACAGACCAAUAUAAACUUUUGACGUCCCAUUUUAUUACUUUCCAGUGCUUUUACUUUUGCUGUCUAUAGCCCUACUAUUCUAUUAAGCAGAAAAUAUUUCAAGGCACUCUCGGUCCAGUAGAUAACUUUGGUAUUUAUUAUCUAUUUUCUUUCCAUUUUAUGUAUACCCCGAUCUUUACCUCUGAUUGGUUGUAGAUUCUUUUGUUGCUUUGGGGUUAGGGGAUGGUUUUCAUAACUAUUCAGUUGAUCAAUGCAGAAAAUCACCUUCAAGAAAUGAUAAAGGAUUGUUAGUUCUAUCUGGCAAACAACAUUAAUAUGAAGGAUGGUGGUUGUUCUGUUCAAGAGUUUAUAAUGACAUAAUUCUACUUUGGUCUUUUAAAAAAAGUAAUUUAGAAACGAGGAGUAUGUGAGUGAUGAUUUUUACAAAAUAAAUUACAUGCGUAGUGAUGAUUUUGGCACAUGAAAAUGAAAAAAGAAAUAUAAAUUGUGAAUAAUAAUUGAAGAACCUGCUAUUGGUAUAUUGAGUAAUCAAGGACUUCAAUAUUCGGACGAUAUAAGCAACACAAUCAAAUAUUAGUUGGAAGGCAUAGCAAAAUUAGAAUGUAGAACAAACUGGGUAUUGAUAAAUGGAUGGUUUUGGAAGAAUUGAAAAUGAUGGCAUAAGUAAACCAAAGUUUAGAGAAAAGAGAAAGAGCAUUUGAACUUUACUUGUAAGAAAAGGCAAAUAUCUUGGUUCAAGAAAAGAUAAGAGAUAUCAAACUAGCAAUAGGAAAAAGGAGGAAGGUUAAGACAGCAUCUUAACAAAAGCUAAAGAAAAGAAAAACUUAGUUCAAGCAAAGAACAAUGUGCUAAUGUCGUGUAAUUUUGUUUAAUUUCUUUUUCUUCUCACAUUUUCCAGGGCUUAAAUAAUACAAUAUACAUUUUCAAGCAAAGAACAAUAUGCAAUUGCAGUACUUCUGAGCACACAACAACAAAUAAAUAAUACAAUAUACAUAGCCAGUAAAUUAAAAAUAUAUAUAUUAUUCAAGUUUGUGGACAAUACUGUAGCCAUGGCGUCGUCGAAAUCUACUGACAGCUGAAACAAAGAAAGAAUGGAUGAAUGCUGGAUCACAGUUGAAAUUGAAGGUCUGGUAGGUGAUGUUUCCCUCUCUUUUUUUACCUAAACAAAUACAAGAAAAUCAGAAUCACAAAUGAAAAUCUGCUAUUACACUGUUCUUACUUAUUAAAAUACAGAGGUUUCUUUGUUUCUCUGCAGCAAUGUCCAUGGCUAUUAGAAACAAGAACAAUUAGACCAGCAUUUGCAAGAAUCCUUUAAGGUAUUACUGCAGAUAUAAAUCGACUGAGGAAAUGGAAAAAUUGAAUACCGAAUUAGGCAAGUUAACUGAAGAUUGAGUUAUCAUAGAAGAAUAAAACUCAUCCAAUUCAAUCCAUCAAAUUCCACAAGGAUACAACUGGAUGUCAUACUGCUGCUCCAUAUCCUCAAGAGCCCGUAGAUUUUGCCUCAACUCUGGCUGAGGCCAAUGUAAGUCCAAUUUGCAAAAGCUCUUUAUGCACCAUAGCUCUUCAGGAAGCUUUCUCAAGUAAGCACAAGGGUUGACAAUUAUGCUCCCAAGUUUUGGCAUUGCUCCAGCCCCUAUCGUCCACUCCUCUAGCAAAUAAAUUGAUUUCAGGUGCAAUACCUUGAGCUCCGGGAAACCACAAGAGCAAACACAAGCCAGUUUUCUUCCUGAAUAUGAGUUCUGCUUCAAUUUCAGCACUUGAAGGUGUGGAAGCUUGUCUAGUGUUAGCAUGGUAUCCUCCAAUAACUCAGUAUUUGAUAAGCUUAGAUGGAUCAGACUUGGAGAAGCUGGUAUUUAGACAGGGCCGUCCGAGAGAGCUACCACCUCUUGGUUUCGUUCACCAGCUUCAAGCAUUCAAGUUUGUGUAGUUCGCAUAGGCUUUUGGAAACCCCAGAACGAUAAUAACUCAAACCUCCAGAUACUAAGAGUUUGAAAAUGAGGUAGUCUGCCUGUUAAAGUAGCUCACUAUGCUGAACGAAAGAAGGAGAAAGCUAAGCUGAAGAAAAUACAGGGCAAGAGUAUUAGCUGUGCCAGCUCAACUGACAGCUCAGCAAAAUCAGUUAAAUUUUGUUACAAGCUCCCUGUGCAUUGUGCUGAAGAUUAGUUAGUUUAAUAAUGAUUAGUUUUAGAUUAGUUAAAAUGUAAUCAUGAUUAAGAUAAAUAAAUAAAUAUAUAUAUAGCUGCUGUACUGAUAGGGCAUCUCAAAAGUUCUGAAAUAAUACCUCAAUUCUAUGGCAAAAAUAAAUAAUCUCAAACAAGAACCAAUAAUCAUAUUUCGUUACUGUCAAACACAAUGCAUCUAAGCAAAACAUUGGAAGCCAACACCAGAAUACAUAUGAAUAAACAAUUAAAGAUAGAGAAAAAAGGCUUAAACCUUGGGGGAAAAAAGUGAAAAAACAUGAAAGACAAAUUACACAUGUGCAGUAACCAUCGAACUUAUCAGUGACAGCUGCAUCCAUUACAUUGCUCCAACAACACAAUGGCAAACCACCAGUUUCAAAUUGAGGAUAGCUAUCGAGAAUGAGAAAGUGUCCAAAACGUCAUAAAUAGACAUGUUCCUAUUGUGCAUAAUUUACAUUAUAGGCAAAUAUUCUUACACCAUCAAAGGCAAAACAUGACACUAACAAUUGAUCCCCCCCCAAAACCAAAAAAAAGGAAAAAACAAUACAGAAAAGAUUGAAACAGAUAAGGCUACACUGAGCACAGGAUGCCAUGAAACAUAAUCCAGGAACCAAAUUAAUAAAAAAGGAAGCCAAACCAUUAUUUAACAAUCUGUUUUGUAUUUGGGAAAGUCUGAUAAAAUCUACUUAGGGAUAAUUAGAGAACCUCAACUAUUAAUCACACCUCAUAAAUGAACUAACAUUAACCAUCUACCAUCCCCACGUCACACAAACAUUCUCUAUACUUCUGAACCUAAUCCAUCUUCAAUUGGGGUUUUUUUUUUUUUUUUUGGGUGGCGGGGGGGGGGAGCUAUCAAUUUUCUAAGCUUGCUUAGCUUCUGUGUGGGAUUGAAAUGCUGAUUUCAAAUCACUAACAGUAAAAUUGGAAGCUCAUGAAAAAACAGUUUUAUCUCAAAAUUACAUCUCGAUAUAAAUUCUCUUUUCAUUUCCUUCAACUUUCUAAUUAAGCUUAAAAAAUGUACCUUCAACCACAAAGGGGUUUAAAAUUUAAAAUAUAAAAAAUAAAUUCAGAUAACAAUAAUUAAUUUAAUUAAAAAUAUAAAUAGAGUUACAGAGAAAGAGAAAUUAGAGAAAGACCUAAUGUUGAGUCCUUUGGCGCAUGUCUCUUCAUAGGUCCGAACCAUUUCUUCGGGCGUGGGUUACGGCCGAGAUUGGAUAAUGAUGGAGGAGGAGAAGAUUAGCGAUGACGACGCCGAUGAAAUGGAAGGGUUUACCAGAGGAGUGGAUGCGAAGAGUGCAGGGACGGCCGCAGAGAGAGAGCAGCGGAGUGCGGCGACGGACGGUAGUGACCAGCGGAGGCGGAAGAUGGCGGUAUGGGCCAUUGCUUGCGCGUCGGUGAGUGUCUCGAGUGAGAGAGUGAAACCUCUACUUAAAUAAGUUCUACUUGAAAAACCGUACCAAACGGAGCUUAAAGUUAAUAGUCUCGUAUCUCCCGCAUUUGAUAUCUUAUUGGCAUCAGCGUGUUACCUAAGAUUGGGAUUCAUUAAAAUCCUCAAUGUAAUCGGUGGAACGAAUGGAUUUCUUCUGUUCACCUAUCCACCAAAAUUUCUGUAAUUAAAUUCAAAAGUCAAGAUCUAUGCUUAUUAUCUAUUCAACAGCUAAUAUUCUAAUUUAUAUUUACUUAAAUAUGAAGAGCUAUGCUUGUAAUUAACUUCAAAUGUGAUCGAAGCAGCCUUACAUCUGUAUAUUACUUAUUCCCAACCUUUUUUUUGACUUCAUAUACUUUCUUUUCAUGUUAUUUACUCUUUUUUUUCCCCUCUCUGACAAUUGAGGUAGGGGGUCAAACUUGAAAGUAUCUUAAAAUCAGACAUUUUUUUUUAAUAAUAACCUAGUUGUUUGCAUUAGAAAUGAUAUUUUUUGUGGUGCUGAUAAAGAGGUUAAUUAUGAUUCAACAAUUUAAAAUAUGAAAACAUGUGGAAGACGGCCGCAAUUAAAUUGAUUGUAUGAAAAUAUUUCAAUGAAAGUUUAAAAAUUUAGUACUUGUUAUCUUAUCGAGAGUUUUUUAAAUUAUAUUACUACUUGAACUUGACUGCUUUUGUAUUGAAUUCCUAGCGUUGACAUUGCUUCUACUCAAAAGCCAUUUAAGUUUGUGUAAGCUACCUGUAGUUUGAACAACAAUUUACUCAUGAAUUCUUGUUCAUAAUAGCAAUUUGAUUGAAAGUGCGGCUGCACUAAUUUUCUAGAUGAAUUUUUUCCUACAUGCUUGUUCUCGUAUGACCCAAAAUCCUGCUACAUCAGUUGUAUUAGAAAUUAAUCAACUGGGUUACAAUUAUGCAUCCCCACCAAUAUUUAAGCAAUUUAAUUACAGAAACAUUUCUUGAGGAAAGAAACUCAUAUCGGCACUAGGCUUUCAAUGAGGCUCAUUUUUAUGAAUCUGGAUAGCAUUAGAUAUCUCUCCGAAUAAUGGUGGGAGUAGAUCGCAGAUCUGGCUAUACUACAAAGUGUAUGUACGUUGACUCUCAAUAAAUACAAAUGAUUCUCUGAUAUUUUUUUUUUUGAUAUUAAUCACGAGAUAUCCUGAGGAGGGCCCCAACUGUGGGAGGCACCUUUAAGCCCGUACCACAACUCAGACUAGAAGUCCCCGCUCGAACCGGGAGGCACAGGUUCUCCCAACAAAGGCGACUUCCCUGCGACUCGAACUGAGGAGCAAACUCAGUCAAUGAUUCUCUGAUAUGAUUCAAAACAUCAGUGCAUGCAUCAUUUUAACUAGAGAGAAUAUUCUAAGAAUGAAAUUGAACGUGCAAUCAGCAACUAAAAUGAAGCCAGAAAUGUACACGCAUGAGGAAUUUUUCCUAGAAGAUUGAUAUUUCUUUAACUAGCAAACCAUACAAGUCCAAAGCUAACCAAACCAUACCUGCAAGUCCGGGGCUUAAAUGGAGUACUUGUAAGCAUAAAACAUUAAUCAAAACACAGUAUAGACACACACACACACCCCUCCCUACAUACAUACCAGCAAAUUCGAAAUAGAAAAAGGAGUGCAACUCACAAAACAGUCGGAGGUGGAAUUCCAGCAUAUCUCCUUCUCUCCGUAGCACUCAGAGGUAUAGUUGAAAGAUUAAACACCAUGGAAUAAUUUGAAAGGAAAAUGCCAAGAAACUGUGUAAGUGGCUAAAUUCCACAAAUAUUACAUUAUUGCUCAUUUUUAUCUCAAAAAAAUGGUACGCGUUCAUUUAGAGAAGAGUCCAAGCCCAGUAACAGGAAUAUUUUAAUUACUACCAUGACAUAAUUGAUGGUGCUUAAAUCAAUUGUUUCUUUUUUAAUUUAAAGAUUUUUUCAUUAAAAAAUAUUUUAAUAUCAAAAUGCCUUCAAUGGCAUUACUGCCGCAAGCCCAGCAACAGGAUUAAUUAAAAAGUUCAGAAUUUUUGGGCAUGGAAACUGGAAAGAGUAUUAAACAUCAGAAAGCUAAGGUUUGUUCUGUUAAAGAAUUGAUAUUGACAUAGUUUUUUUUUUGAGGAAAAAAAAAACAUAUUUGUUGACAAGUAAGGAAAUGUUUUUGUAUUUUACAAUCUGUUAUUACAUAUUUUAUCAUAUUAAAGUAAUUUUAAUAACAAAUAGAAACAUAAUAUUACAAUAAAUAAAUUAAAGUUUAAAUUAUUUUGAAUAUUAUAAAAAAUAAUGUUAAUAUUAUUAAUAGGAAGACAUUUUGUUAAUUUUAAAAUCUUUUUAAUCCAAAGGUUUAUUUAAAAUCUCUAUAAUAAAUACAAAUAUAAGAUUAAAAUAAAAAUCAUAAUUUGAAAAUUUUAAUAUUAUUUUAAAUGUUAAAUAUACUUUAAUGUUAUUAGCCUACUACGUAGAUUUUAUUAUUUAUAUUAUAUUCGUAUUGAUUAAAAUUUUUUAAAAUCAAUUUUUUAGUUAGUACAUUCAAGAGGUAUCAUAGUUAAAGAAAAGAUUUUGGUGCAACUGUUUUAAAAUUUCAGGGACUAAAUGAUAAUUUUUUUAAAUUUUAAGGAAGUUGGUAUUAUUUUUCCGACAAUUUAUUUUAUUUUGAGGGAAAUCCGAUGAGAAAUAUCAUCAGAGAACAUUAAUUUAACAUUCUUUACCUUUAUGAAAAAAGUGAAAAUCAAGAACUAUUCAAUUUUGUAUUUUUUGUUUGUAAUUCAAAAAAUGCAUCCACCAAAUCAAGAACUAUUCAAUCUUGAUUUUCCCAUUUUAUUCAUUUUCGAUGCAUCCCCCACUAUUUUUACAAAUCUCCAUCCCACAUCUACACUAUCAAACAAGUUGAUGGAAAUUGAACCCAGUAAGUUAUGUUCAUUACUGGUCAUUGUCUUUCUAUGAGCCACUUAUUUUGAGCAUUAGCGAUCUUAUAAGGAAUCAUGCCUUUUCAGGAUCGUUUUCUUUCAUUUCCUUCUUGUAGUAGUUAAUUAAAUAAAGAACGAACAGCUGAACUUGGUCUAUUUCGAGGAAGAACAAGGUUUCCAAUACUAGAGGAACUUUGAAAAAAAUUAAUUGGAAGCCUUUAUUCAUCUUUGAAGAAAAUUACCACACUUUAAAUCCUGGAUAAAAAAAAUUUUAUUCAUCUUCGGACUAUGAAUUUAUAAAAAAACAUUGUUAGGACUAAGAAAAAAAUAUUAUUUUAGAUAAGUUAUUUGUUUAUUAUUGAAUGAAAAAUUUAUCAUGAUAAAUAAAUAUUUAUUAUUUUAAAGAGAGAUUUUUUUUUUGGUUUUAAGAAGAGUUUUUUUUUGGUACAUGCACACACUAAUAAAGAAACACAAAAAGUGCUUCCUCAAGUCAAUAGUAUUUGCUUUAAUGGCUAAGGUGCAUAAUAAUGUAGCUUAGUUAGGAAAUUUGUAAUUACAUUAUGGCUCCGUUUGGUAUAACUUUUUAAUUAGAAGUAUUGUUCUUUUUAUUAACAUGUGUUUGUUUUACUUAAUAAUAAAAGUUUAGUUUACAAUUACACCGGUGUCAAAUCAGCAGAGCAUCGGCAAGAGUUUUCGAUUGUUGCAAUUUGCAAUGCACGCGGUGAGAGAAAAUGAGAAUCUUGUUUAAUUGUGAAUAAUGACAAACCUAAUCCUUUCAUUAGGAGUAAAUUAAUAAUCGUUUGUUAUAAUUGAAUAUGUAUAAAGAAAGGAAAAUUAUAUUCAUAGAUUUGACUUAUUUUUUGUUUAACGUAACUAAUCAUUCAACCAUCUUCAUUUGCCUCUGGCCAAUGCCCUUGUAGAUUAGUUGAAGCGUUGAUUUCUUAAUUCAGAUAAUUACAACGUCCUUUUCGCUAAUUAAGUAUGAUUAUGUACAUUUUCAUAUAGCAAGUGGCAUUGUAGAUCUAAACUAAGUUGCUAUUUCAAUCCGUUAAUUAAGUGAUUCUCCUCAUUGUCAUCAGUGUUAUACCCUCUGGGAAAAUAGCUCAAUUGUUUCCCUGCAUUGAUUUUCAUUGGUAAGUGAUUUCUUAUGAAAUUCUUUUGAGCUUUCCUUAUUAAAAAAGCUUGAGCUUUUAUCACCUAAUACGGAUAUCAAUUAACUUGUGAACGAUUUUGUAAUGAAACUAGGAGUUAAAUAAGAUUUUUACAUGAUGAUCAACUUGUUAAUUUUGUAUAUUUCAUAUUUAACAGGAUUUGGGCACGGAACGUUUGGAUUCUAAUAUUUAUAUAUUUAGUUUUAAUCAGUUUGACUUUCGUAAUCUUUCUCGCCUCAUCAUUAAGGGAUUAAGAAUUAGAGAAACAUUAGAAACAGGAAGAAAAUAACUUCAGAAAUAAGUAAGAGGGAAAAAAAUUUAUGAUAUUUGGUGUUGAAAUGAACUAAAAACUCGUCAGUACAACGUGUCGUUUGCAGGUUGUGAAGAUGAGUGCCAUGUCGUUUCAUUUAAGCAAUAUACCAGAACUGACAAAUUGCCAAUGUCGUUCAAGACCAUUAUAACUCACGUGCCUUACGCAUGCCUCUCUUAAGCUUAAACGGCAAAGCUAGCAGUCGUUUAAGGAAGGCUUAUUAAUAGCGCGUGAGAAGCUCGUGCCAGGUUGGUUAAAAGGCCGUUAGAUUUAGAGGGAAAUCUGGAUCUGUUACACCUGCAUCAACUGAUAUAUAAACGAGCUGGUUCUGGUGUUAGCAUGUAUGACCAAGGAGAGAGAGAUAAGGCAUCGAUACUGAGAGAAAAGCUUGACUAAGUGGUCUCUGUAUUAUGUGUGAUUUCUCUGUAACCUUGAAAGCUUAAUAAAACUGCUCUCUGUGUUGGUUUUCUCCAGUGGAUGUAGGCACCCUUCAACAGGUGCUGAACCACUUAAGCUCUGUGUGUUCUUUGCCUUUAGGUUGUGAUCUUUGAUCUGUGCAUUGUUCUUUGUUAAGUGUAAGAUUGGUUCUUGAAUCUUUGAGUCAGAGUUGGGUCUUGGGGUGAGAUUAAUCUAGUAUCUAAAGGGUUAAUCUCUCAACAUUUGGAAUGUAUCAUAAUUUUUUGUUGAGUAAAUAUGUAUGAAUAGUUUUUGGGAGUUUUAGCCAGGAGUCAUUUAUUGAAGAUGUCUAGCAAUUAAAGAUCUCUGUCUCAGUAGUUUUCCCAAUCAAAAUCAAGAAGCAAAAAAAACUUGCCAUUUUUCUACUUGAUAAUUAAUUGAAAUUUAAGAAAAUACAAUGGCAUUUCAAUUAGAAUUGGUAAUUGUUUAUCUUUUUUUCAUUGAUCAAAUUCUAAUCUUUAUGCAAUAGUUAUGAAUGAAAGAAAUAUUAUGAGAGGAGAUAGGUCAAUUGAAGCCGUACCCGCAAAUAAAAAAUAGAAAAGGAGUGCAACUAUUCAACUUUGUAGACAAUAUUGCAACCAUCCAAAGGUGAAGAUCUACGCUUAUUAUCUAUUUAACAGCUAUAUAUAUAUAUAUUUAUAUUUUUAAAUAUCAAGAGCUAUGCUUGUAAAUAAGUUCAAAAGUGAUGAGAACAGCCUUAUAUUUAUUUAUUUAAAUAUUACCCAGAAUACUGCUAUAACAAUUGUAUUUAAAUAAUAAUUGUAUUUAAAUAAAUAACUAUAUAUCUAAAUAUAUAUUUAUUUAUUUAAAUAUCAAGAGCUAUGCUUGUAAAUAAGUUCAAAUGUGAUGAGAACAGACUUAUAUUUAUUUAUUUAUUUAAAUAUGACCCAGGCUAAUUUCUCUGAAUUUUGACAGAGUAGAUUUCUAAGCUAAUGCUUGGCAGAUCUCUGGGCGAUACUACAAAGUGCAUGUACAUUGAGUCUUAAUAAAUAUAAACGAUUCUCUGAUAUGAUUCAAAACAUCACUACAUGCAUAAAUUAAUAAGAAAUGUAUAGUUGUACAUAAUUUUAUGCAUGAGGCAGUUUUUAUAGUUGUACCCUCUCUAAUGAAAUUGAAGGUGCAGCCAGCAACUAAAAUGAAGCAGAAAUGUACACGCAUGAGGCAGUUUUUCUAGAAGAUUGAUAUUUCUUUAACUAGAAAACCAUACAAGUCCACAGCUAGCCAAACCGUACCUGCAUGUGUCUAGGGCUUAAAUGGAGCACUUCUAAGCAUAAAACAGUAACUAAAACACAUACACAAACAUACAUACCAAAAAAUUCAAAAAAUAGAGAAAGGAAUACAACUAUUCAUGUUUGUAGACAAUAUUGCAACCAUGGCAUCAGUUAUAGCAAAUAUUGAAUUACAAUAUUUCCCUUGCCGAUUUUGUCUACACAAGUAAAGGGAAAUAAGAAUCAUAGAUGAAAAUCAACUUUUACAGUUCUAAUUAUUAGAUAGAUACAUAAUGAUCUAUCUUUGUUACUUUGUUUCUCUGCUGCAAUGUGCGAUCCCACUCUGUUUUGAUACUCAAAUUGAGUCUAUGUUGAGACAUAAUUUUGACAUUGGAAGCAAUCCCAAUUAGUUUGGCUUUUGUAUGACCCUUUAAGGUUUUACAAUAGAUGCAAAUCUACUGAGAAAAUGGUAAAAAAAGGUGUAUAUAAAAUGAGGCAAGUAACAGAAGUAUGAGUUAUCAGAUUAGAUUAAAAGUCACCCAAUUCAAUCUAUCAGAUUCCGUAAGGAUAUAACUGGAUGUCAUACCGCCAGUCCAUAUCCUCGAAAGUCUCUAGUCUUUGUCUCAACUCUGUCUGAGGCCAAUGUAAAUCCAAUUUGCACAAGCUCUUUAUGCACCAUAGCUCUUCUGGAAGCUUUCUCAAGUAAGCACAUGGGUUGACAAUUAAGCUUUCAAGUUUUGGCAUUGCUCUGCCCCCAUCGUCCACUCGUCUAGCCAAUACAUCGACUUCAGGUGCAAAAUCUUAAGUUCCGGAAAGCCAGCAGAGCCAACGCAGGCUAGCUUUCUUCCUAAAUACGAGUUCUGCUUCAGUUUCAGCACUUGAAGGCGUGGAAGCUUUUCCAGCAUUGGCAUGGGAUCCUCCAUUCGCUCAGUAUUUGAUAAGCUCAGUUGCAUCAUUCUUGGAGGAAAUUAGUAUUCAGACAGGACCAUCCGUGAGAGCUUGCUCUCAUUCACCAACUUCAAGCAUUCAACUUUGUGGAGUUUGCAUACGCUUUUGGAAACCCCAGAGUGAUAGCAACUCAAAUCUCCAGACACUCUAAGAGUUUGAAGAUUAGAUAGUCUGCACAAUAUAUCUGGCGUGCAACUACUAGGGUGUGAGGCUGAUAUGAAAAUAAGAUUUUUCAGAGAGCUGGAAUAAUUUUUUGGAGGUGCAGGCAGAGAGAUGGAACCAAAGUUCAGAUGCAUGAGUUUUUGCAUCUUCCAAAUAUCCUCUGGUGUUUGAUCUACGUAGCUAGAUGGCAUGUCUAGUGUUUGAAGGUUUGAAAGGGUGCAUAGCGGUGAAGGAAGACAUUUGAGCGAAGGGAUAUUCAAUUUCAAAUACUUCAAAUGGAAUAAAUUUUCUAAUCUGGGUGGAUAUUGGUCCAGGACUGCAGAACCCAUGUUCAAUACCCGAAGGUGUUUGAACAUUUUACAAAAAUUCUCGCAAUCUAUCGGAUUAAGAUGAUCGCUUUCUGAACUGUGAUUCAGAAAAAGAUUGGAGAUACAUGUCCGAAUGUUUCAAAGAAAAGAAUUCAAUCGGAUCAUCGAAAAUGAUGUACCGUUUGGCAUUUGCCAAUGAUUCAUCUUCGAAGUCAGGCGUCCGGACAAAUCCCAUCAUUGCUGCCGUCCCAAGUAACGCAGCAUAUGCAAAAGUUGGAACAUAACACGCCUUAAUUGUGCCUCCAUCUCUUCUCUUAUUUACUUGAAUGAAGCCAUGAUCGAUUAGUUCGUUCAAGUAAUGCUCGGCAGUUUCCUCACUGUUGUAUGGUAUGAAACCUUCAGCUACCCACAGCUGAUAUAAUUGCCUGGUAGAUAUCUCAAUGCCUGGAUGAAAGCUGAGGUUGUCCCUCGAUCAGUAAAUCAAACAAUUCCUCUGCCGCUUUCAAAUUCACUCUUAUCAAGCUGAAAUUGUCCCUCAAUCAAUAAGUGAGUGAAUUCGUUCCUUCGCUCUUUGAAAUCAAAACCAUUGUCUCUAGGCGGAAUUUGUUGCAACUGAUUUCUAAUAUCAAUGAUUUUACUGUGGAUUCCGACAAGAAGAGCAAUGAGUGAGAAAACAACUUGUUUGGUAACCAAAAAAGUAUUGAGAGAAAAUGUAAUGAUUCUGAGAAAUUGCUUUUAUUUCAAUUAAUCGAAUCCAGAGUAAAUGUACAGAGUUUCUUUAUAUACUAACGUAUCUACAUAGCUGAUAUUAGCUAAACUAAUUCAACCAGCUAAUCAUGCUUAACAACUUAUUAUAACUAACUAAAACUAAUAUUCACGUGUACAAGAAAUGAUGUAACCACCAGGUGCUAGCUGGCAUGCCAAGUCAUCAACUUGUAACCGUGAGCUGCAACUGUUACAAUCCUCUGCUUUGCUGACUAUCUGGCUCACAUGAGCUUCCUUAACAUCCCCUCUCAAGCUCAAGGGUCUGUUAACUACAUUGAGCUUGGAACGAAAAUAGCUAAAUUUUGGAAAAGAUAGAGGCUUAGUAAGAACAUCUGCCACUUGUUCUUCAGUAGGAAUAUAUCUAAUCUCUAACUCUUUGUUCAGAACCUUAUCUCUAAUGUAAUGAACAUCCAGCUCUAUAUGUUUGGUCUUGGAGUGGAAUAUUGGAUUUUUAGCUAGAUCACCUGCACUCUGAUUGUCACACCAGAGAAUAGGAGUUGGCAACUUGAUAAUUUUUAGCUCAGAAAACAAAGAUUGCAGCCAUGUAAGUUCAGAACUUGCUGCUGAUAAGGCUCGAUAUUCACUUUCUGUGCUAGACUUUGCCACAAUAGCUUGCUUUUUCGAAGACCAGGAAAUGAGAUUAUUACCAAGGAAAAUGUAGUAAGCUCCAAUGGAUUUCCUGUCAUCAGUGUCACAUGCCCAAUCAGCAUCUGAGUAUCCUGUCAACCCUAUUGUUUCCAAGGUUCCCUCUUGCUGAAUAUAGAGGCCAUAUGUAAUAGUUGCUUGAAGGUAUCUCAACACCUUUUUGCAGGCUAACCAAUGUUGGAGAGUUGGACCACUUAGAUACUGGCUAAGUUUAUGCACUGAGUAAGCAAUGUCUGGUCUAGUUAGAACCAAGUAUUGAAGCCCUCCAACUAUACUUCUGUAAAGAGUUGGAUUUUCAAAUUCUACACCCAAUGAGCCUUUAGCUAUUUUUUCUAAUUUGUAACCAGUGCUGAAAGGAGUUUCAGUUUCUUUACAGUUCUGCAUUGAGGCCUUGGUCAACAAAUCCUUGAUGUAUUUAGUUUGGGAGAGGUGCAUGCCAUGAUCUGUGUAGCUGACUUCUAUACCAAGGAAAUAUGAUACCAGGCCCAAGUCUUUUAAGGCAAAAGCUUUACUCAGCUUUGUGAUGAAUGCCUCCAGCAAGACUGAAUCUGGACCUGUAACUAAUAUAUCAUCUACAUAGAUCAAGACAAGGAUUAUGCCUUUAGUGUCAUGCUUGAUAAACAAUGAAGUGUCAGCCUUAGAAUUUGUGAAAUUCCAAUCUGUAAGACAGCCCUUAAGCUUAUCAUACCAGGCCCUUGGUGCCUGUUUUAAACCAUAAAGAGCUUUGUUUAGCUUACAGAUGUAUCCUCCCUCUGAAACAAAACCCUCUGGUUGUUGCAUGUACACAUCUUCAGUAAGAUCCCCAUUGAGAAAUGCAUUGUUGAUAUCUAUUUGUCUAACAUUCCAGCCUUGCAUAACUGCCAAACUCAAUAUAACUCUGACAGUUGAAGACUUGACUACAGGACUAUAAGUUUAUGAAUAGUCAACCCCAGCUGUCUGAUGGAAUCCUUUAGCAACAAGCCGAGCUUUAUGCUUAGAUACUGAGCCAUCUAAAUUAUACUUUGUUCUGAAGACCCAUUUGCAGCCAACCAGUUUAUGAGUAGGAUCCAUUGAAACUAGAUUCCAGGUUUUGUUUCUGAUAAGUGCAUCAUAUUCCAGUUGCAUUUUAUCUUUCCAUUUAGGAUCAGCUAAAGCUUCACCAACAUUAGAAGGUUCUAAACUGUUGUGUGCUGUCAAAAAUGCCUUAGGUUUGAAUAUACCAGCUUUAGCUCUGGUAGUCAUGGGAUGGACAGAGAUAGUAGGAUUGGAAAGUGAUAAAGAUGGUCUGGAAGGUGAUGUGUGUAAAGAAGCUUGAAAUGGUAUAGGAAGUUCUGGAGAAUUUUGAUGGAUGAUAGGUGAAGAUAUAGUGUUUGAAGUUGCUACUGGAGAUGUUGUGGGAAUGACAGGGGAGGUUAUGGUAUUAGUGGAUAAAAUAGAAUGAGUAGAAGAGGAAGGUAACAAGAUAUUGUGAUGAGAACUAGAAUUGUUAGAAUCAGUAUCUGCAGCAACAGCUUCAAAAGGUUUUAGAUUGCUAUUAGGAACUGAAACAUUAUAAAUAAAAACUUAUUAAAACCUAAUUUAUUUGGGAACCACAUAUUAAAACCUAAUUUAUUUGGGAACCACAUAUUAUUGGUCAGUAGUAUUUCUCAACUUAGCAAGUUAUUUCUAAUUUGUCCCUCUCUAUUAUUGGUUCUCUUAAAGCCAAUAGUGUCGCAUUUGAUAUCUUGCCAUUACCGUUGGCAUUAGCAUGUUACCUGAAAUUGGGAUUCAUUGAAAUCCUCAAUGUAAUCGGUGGAACGAAUGGAUUUCUUCUAUUCAUAAUUUGAUGAUUUUAAUUGAACUAGGAGAUAAAGUAAAAGAUAAAUGGUUGGUUUACUCCAAUUUCUGAAGUGCUUGUAUCUUUUUGGUUGAAUUCGUGCAGUUAAAUAAUCUCUACCAACAUAUGUAUGUAUGUAUGAAAUUGGAGUAACCAGACCUUUUCAAGAGUUAAAUAAUCUCUACCAACAUUGUAGAUUGCCCGAUAAAGUUAACUGUGUUACCCAGCUCCAUGCAUAUACAUUAAAUGCAUGUUUGGGUAGUUUUAUAAAAUGAUAACAGCACGUCAAAACUUGAUGAGUUAUAUUGUCAUAUUCGACAUUUUUAAAUUGAAAAAUUAGCAAGCAAUCUUCAGUGAACAUUACAAUUUUGUUCGCUCUACACCCCAUCAAUAUUUAAGCAAUCUACAGAUCAUUACUUGAGGAAAGAAACUCUUUGCGCCACUAGGCUUUUAACGAGGCUCAUUUCUAUGAAUCGGGAUAGCAUUAGAUAUCUCUCCGAAUACUGGUGGGAGUAGAUUGCAGAUCUCUGGGCUAUACUGCAAAGUGUAUGUACGUUGAUUGUCUGAUAUGAUUCAAAACAUCAGUCCAUGCAUCAUUUUAAUGAGAAAGAAUAUUCUGAGAUUAUUUAUGCAUCACCAUUUGUAGUUGUACUGACUAAUGAAAUUAAAGGUGCAAUCAGCAACUAAAAUGAAGCCAGAAAGACACGCAUGAGGCAGUUUUCCUAGAAGAUUUGAUAUUUCUUUGACUAGCAAACCAUACGAGUCCAAAGCUAGCCAAACCAUCCCUGCAAGUCCAGGGCUUAAAUGGAGUACAUCUAAGCAUAAAACAUUAAUCAAAACACAAUACGCACACACAGACCCCUACAUACAUACCAGCAAAUUCAAAAUAGAAAAAGGAGUGCAACUAUUCAAGUUUGUAGACAAUAUUGCAGCCAUGGCAUAUCAAAGCAAAUCCUUGAAAUGUGCUAAACAGAACAAUGCCCUGUCUCAUGAAUCGACGCUCAAUUACAAUUGAAAUUGAAAGUCCGGCUGGUGUUGUUUCCCUCUCCAGUUUUGCCUACAUAAGUAAAGGGAAAUAAGAAUCAUAAAUGAAAAUAUGCUUUGACAGUUCUUAUUAGAUAUAUAUAAAGGGAUCUUUCUUUGUUUCUCUGCUGCGAUGUGUGGUUAUCCCACUGUUUUUCCACUCAAGCUGAGUCUACGUUGAGACAUAAUUUUGACAUCAGAAGAUACCUCAAUUAGUUUGGCACUUUUACGAUAAACAUAAAUCUACUAAGAAAGUGCGGAAAAAAAGAAAAUGCAUAUAAAAGUAUGAUUUAUCAGAUAAGAUUAAAACUCACCCAAUUAAAUCCGUCAGAUUCCAUAAGGAUAUAACUGGAUGUCAUACCGCCGCUCCAUAUCCUCGAAAGUCCGUAGUCUUUGUCUCAGCUCUGUCUGAGGCCAAUGUAAAUCCAAUUUGCGCAAGCUCUUUAUGCACCACAGCUCUUCUGGAAGCUUUCUCAGGUAAGCACAUGGGUUGACAAUUAAGCUUUCAAGUUUUGGCAUUGCUCCUCUCCCCAUCGUCCACUCAUCUAGCCAAUACAUUGAUUUCAGGUGCAAAACCUUAAGCUUCGGAAAGCCACCAGAGCCGACACAGGCCAGCUUUCUUCCUAAAUACGAGUUCUGCUUCAGUUUCAGCACUUGAAGGUGCGGAAGCUUUUCUAGCGUUGGCAUGGGAUCCUCCAUUAGCUCAGUAUUUGAUAAGCUCAGUUGGGUCAGACUUGGAGGAAAUUGGUAUUCAGACAGGACCAUCCGUGAGAGCUUGCUUUCAUUCACCAGCUUCAAGCAUUCAAGUUUCUGCAGUUCGCAUAGGCUUUUGGAAGCCCCAAAAUGAUAGCAAGUCAAAUCUCCAGAUAUCCUUAGAGUUUGAAUAUUUGGUACUCUGCCCAAUAUAUCUGGAAUGCAACUACUAGGGUGCAAGGCUGAUAUGAAAAUGAGAUUUUUCAGGGAGCUGCAAUAAUUAUUUGGAGGUGCAGGCAGAGUGAUGGAACCGAAGUUUAGAUGCCUGAGUUUUUGCAUCAUCCAAAUAUCCUCUGAUGACUGAUCUAUGUAGCUAGAUGGCAUUUCUAGUGCUUGAAGGUUUAAAAGGGUGCAUAGCAGCGAAGGAAGGCAUUUGAGCGAAGGGAUAUUCAAUUUCAAGUACUUCAAAAAAUAUAAAUUUUCUAAUCCGGGUGGAAAUUGGUCGAGAACUGCGGAACCCAAGUUCAGUACCCGAAGGUGUUUGAACUUUUUACAAAAGUUCUCGCAAUCUAUCAGAGCGAGAUGAUCGCUUCGUGAACUGUGAAGCAGAAAAGAAUGGAUAUACUUGUCAGAAUAUUCUGGAGGAAAGAACUUAAUCAGACGAUCCAAAAUGAGAUACCGUUUGACAUUUGCCAGUGGUUCCUCUUUCAUGUCAGAUAUCCGGACAAAUUCCGUCUUGUCCGCCACCAAAUACAGUGAAAUAAAUUCAAAACUUGGAACAUAACACGCUUUGAUUGUGCCGUUGGCUCUUCUCUUACUCACUUGAAUGAAGUCGCGGUGGAUUAGUUCUUUUAACCCUCAGCUAUCCACAACUGACAUAAUUGCGUGGUAGAUAUCUCAAUGCCGGGGCGGAAGACACACAAAUAGAUGCAGCAGACUUUCAAGUAAAAAGGUAACUCCCCCACAGAACAAGUUCGACUGAAAACUGUCAAAUUUAUUUUUUCAUUCAUAUAAUUUUCUGAUGGCGCACUUCCAUAGUGUAGGACGAAAAAUUGCCAGGCCUCAUGCUCUAAUCUGAUCAAUGGUCCUUCAAUGAGCACUGAAUCAAGCCGAAUCUUCUCUCCGUUUUCCAUUUCCAACGACGUAAGGAGUUCUGGAUCAGUGAAAUAUCAAUACUCUGCUUCCAUUCCGAUUAUCAGGAAGAACUUCUUCAAGAUCAUCCCAUAUCUCAAUGUUAUCGCAGACAUCAUCAAGCACAAUAAAGUACUUCUUGUUUGUUAGGUAAUCUUGAAGAAUAGAUUUCUUCAAUUGAUAAUCUUCACCGAUAAUUACACUAACCCGAGAUGGAGGCAUCACGGACUUGAUUAUGUCAUCCAAUAUCUUGCCAAAAUCGUAGAGUGAAGAAACCCUGACCCAAGCAAAACCGUCAAAAUAGAACUUGACGUGAUUAUUAUUGUAAGUAUCUGCAGCAAAAGCAGUCUUAUCGAUGCCACGGCUGUCGAGAAUUGCAACCACUGCAAGCCGAGGAUGUCCUUCUAUCAAUAAAUCAAACAACUCCUCUCUGCCCCUUGCAAAUUCAUUGAUAUCAAGCCGAGGUUGUCCCUCACUCAAUAGGCGAAUGGUUUUGUUACAUUGUUCAGUGAUAUCAAAAUCAUUGUCGCCGGGUGGAAGUUGUUGCAUCCGAUUUCUAAUAUCAAUGAUUUCACUGUUGAGUCCAUCAAGAAGAGUCGUAUUAGUACUGCUGUCACUUUCGUUUUCACUGUUUUGCUGCUGCAUGAUUUUGAUGAAGAAUGUGUCAAUGGCUUCCUCAGAUUCACGGACAAAGUCAUUGAUGUCGUUCAGAAUUUCCAGAAUGUCUGCCCUUUUAACAUCUUCUUCAUCGCUUUUUUCUAAGUCCAACAGUUGCAAAGAAGGUAAAGAUAUUUCGGUGUCAUCGAAUUCUUCUCUAAUGAGUUGAAACAAAUCCGAGCCAUGUCAGAGUCAUAGUUUCCCAGCAGUGGUAACAAUAAUUUUGGACUCCGUAAGAAGGUUUUGAAAAAGUGGGGUUAAAUUUGUUGAAUCAGGCAGCGUUAACGGGUCUUCUUCACCUGCUAACACCCUUUUCAACCUCUCACAAAAUAGUCGGAGGUGGACGUCCAGCAUAUCUCAUUCUCUCCGUAGCACCCAGACGUAUUGUUAUUUGCUCCAACAAAUGUUAAAAGGAUUGGUUCUAUCUCAAAGUGGUUUGUGGUGUAAAAUUAAACACUAUGGGAGAAUUUGAAAGGAAGAUGCCAAGAAACCGUGUAAGUGGCUAAUUUCCACAAAUAUGACAUUAUUGCUCAUUUUUAACUCAAAAAAAUGAUAUGCGUUCAUUUAGAGAAAAGUCCAAGACGCUUGCCUUUUAAAAAGAACAGGUAUCCCUAUGCAACCUUUAUCUUAUUUAAUUACUACCAUAUGGUACUUAAAUCUAUUGUUUCUUUUUUAAUUUAAAGAAUUUUUCAUUAAAAAACUAUUUUAAUAUCAAAAUGCCUUCAAUGGCAUAGCUGCCGCAAGCCCAGUAUGAAUUAACAGGAUGAAUUAAAAAUUUUAGAAUUUUUGGGCAUGGAAAGAGUAAUAUUAAACAUUAGAAAGCUAAGCUUGUUCUGUUAAAGAAUUGAUAUUGACAUAAUUUUAUUUUGGUUUUCGGGGAAAAAAAUUAUUCGUUGACAAGCAAGAAACAUUUUUAAUUUUUAAAAUUUAUUAUGCAUAUUUUAUCAUAGUAAAGUAAUUUUAAUAAUAAAUAGAAACAUAAUAUUACAGUAAAUAAAUUAAAGUUUAAAUUAUUUUGAAUGUUAUAAAAAAUAAUUUUAAUAUUAUUAAUAGAAGACAUUUUCUUAAUUUUAAAAUCUUUUUAACCCAAAGGUUUAUUUAAAAUCUUUCUAAUAAAUACAAAUAUAAAAUUAAAAUAAAUAUCAAAAUUUGAAAUUUUUAAUAUUAAAAUUACUUUAAUGUUGUUAGUGACUGUUCGGUACAGCUUAUUUAAUGGCUAUAAGUGCUUAUUUAAUGUCAUAAUGUCAUGGGAUGAGUGUUUUGCACAGCAAAUCCAUGCGGUACUUAGACAACUUUGCCGAAUGUUGCUAAGUAAGCCUUGAGCUUCUCGAACUAGCUAAGCCUAGAGGUUUUCGAAGAGCUAGAGAGAAGAGAGCAAUGAAGCCGAAUGAAGAGAAUUGUAUUACUAACAAGAGAGAUUACAAGAGAGCUUACAAGUGUUUGAGUUGCUUGUACUAAGCUUGUUGCUCAAAUGUCUAAUGCCAUCCCAUAUUUAUAGGGGAGGCUUGCCAAGCUCUAGAGAUUCUAGAGAAUUCUACCAUUUAUAUGUGCCGGAAUUCUAUGGAGUAUUCUAGAGUAUUUACAAGCUCAAAUGCCUUUUAAAAAGAAUAUGUAUACAAUGGCAAUCCAUACUUUAUAAAAUUGAUGGUGAUUACAAAGAAAAAUUGUUUAAAAUAGAUUUAAUGCACAAAUAUGAUGACUUUUGGCAAAAAUUAGUUUCGGAAAUGUUGGGAUGAAAACCAUAUUAAUUGAGAAUUAAAAUUACUUAAUAAAAUUACUUAACUACCAUCUAAUAGAUGAAAACCAUAUCAAUUGAGACUUAAAUUAAGAUUUAAAUGUUGAAAUAUCUAGCAUUACUCACAAUAACCAAUUCAAAUUAUGACUAUCAUGUAGAAGCAAAUGUUUAUGCUUGGGUUUUUUACUUCUUGAAUUUGAUUGGAAAAUUUUCUGAGAUAGAGAAGUGUUUUGGAUAAGCUUUACGGGAUUGAAACCACAAAUUGGUAGAGGAAAUUAAUUUUGGACAAAUUUUUCUUAUAUUGUAGGACCUUCUAGUUGGAGUAGUGAUGCCUUUGUCUUCAUUUUUGGUUCCUUUUGUGUCGGCAGCCCCUUACUAUUCUCUUGACCCUGAGUUUGAGAUAGAAAUUUAUCAACCUCCAACCCCACAUCCACAAACAAGUUGAUUGAAACAAUUACUCUUUUAAUUAAGAGGACCCAAAUGAUUUAGGUUUCAGUUCUUAUCAUUUGUCUAUUAUUUCUUUGAAACAUUUAUUUUGAGCGUUACUGAUCUUAAUUAUCUGUAUUUCUCCAAUUAUUGAAGAAUUUCAAGUGGCCACUUUUUCUCCUUUUUAUAUAUGUUUAUUUUUUGGAGUGAUCAAACGGGUGCAAAAUCAAGUAUUCGCUGGUCUGUAGUUUAGCCAACGAUGGCUGAUCCACACAGUUGAUUAUAUGAUACUAUUAGCUCUCAAAAUCUUUCUUAUUUGAGAACAUAAAUUGCCCAUUGAAGUUAAACUAUGUUACCCAGCUCCAUGCACAUACAUUAAAUGUUUAGGUAGUUUUACAAAAUGAUAACAGCAUGCCAAAACUUGAUGUUGUCAUAUUCGACAUUUCAAAUUGAAAUAUAUGCAAGCAAUCUUCAGUGAACAUUACGUGUUUAUUGAAUAAUUUAAAUGGCCAGUAAAUCAACAGUCCGUGAGUUUUAAAUCUAUUAUGACUUAAUGUAUCUUUCUGUAUUUGUACACGUGUUAUAUUAUCAUAGUUUAAAAUUUUAAUAUUAUUUUAAAUGUUAAAAAUACUUUAAUGCUAUUAGUCUACUACACAGGUUAUAUUAUUUAUAUUAUAUUUGUAUUAAUUAAAACUUUUAAUGUCAAUUUUCUAAUUACUAUAUUGAAAAGGUAUUAUGGUUAAGAAAAAGUUUUGGCAUUUCUUCUUGAAAAUUUGAGGGUUUUCCAAAUUCUAAGGGUAUAGGUUUGAAAAUUUAACGAUCUUUAACUUAAUGAAACAAAAGAGGGAAAUCAAGAACUAUUCAAUUUUGUAUUUUUUGUUUGUAAUUCAAAAAAUACAUCCACCAAACAAGUUUUACGCAUUAAUGCUGUCAUAAAACGAAAAACAGUUUGCCAAAAAAUGGUACCAAACAUGUCCUUAAUGUCUCACAUGAUUUCUUAGUAAGUCCAUAUUAGAUAUAUUUAUACAUUUUAGGUAUUUUAGUUAUAAAAGAAGUUGGACCUCCCCCUGUUUAUAAAAAAUAACUUUAUUUCGAGAUUACCACUAAACUCUUACAUAGAAUUAGUGUAAUGUUAAGAGAGAGUAACACAGUUUUCCAUUACCAUCUUUGAAAAUAGAGAGAUAUGGAUGCGUGCAUUUAAGAGUUACCGUGAAAAUCAUACAAUUCAAUUUCCUGACAUAUAUAUUCAUGGACCAGCACCGAUAUUCUCACACCAAUGAGCACCACAGUUAGCACAAAACGGUUCGUUUUGUGCUAACUAUAAAAGAUUUAACUGUAGCUUGAAAACGCAGACUCAUCUUGCUCAAACGCAGACCACACACGCGCUCGAGUUUCUAAAACGCAAACGCAAACGCAAACUACACACACACUCAUCUUACUGGACCACAACACUCUCUCUCACCGUGGGUCUCUCCACAUUUGGCUUGGCUGUCAGUUGUUUCUCUCCCAACCCCGUGGAUUGCAUUCUCACGGCACUUCUGGAAUUUGAGACUUAGCUGCAGCUUCACUCUCUCGGCUGUCGGAAUUGAUUUGUGGAGGUAAUUUAUGCAAACGCAAACCACACACACACUCAUCUCAGUUGACCACAACACUCUCGCUCGCCGUGGGUCUCUCCACAUUUGGCUUGGCUGUCAGUUGUUUCUCUCUCCACCCCGUGGAUUGCAUUCUCACGACACUACUGGAAUUUGACACCUAGCUGCAGCUUCACUCUCUCGUUAUGAAUUUAUGUUAAUUUUGCUGUCUUCAGAACUGCCUGUUGUGGUCGAGUACAAGAUUGCGGAGAUGGGUUAUGUUAGAUUCUACUUGACACCAAGAUAGAAGAAGAUGAGGAUGAGACCAAGCCUCUAGCUUAAGUGUCAUUUGGUACAUAUGCUAUGGCAUUUUGUUGAAUCGAGUUACUCCUACAUUUUAAGUUUGCUUUUAGAAUAUUUCUCGUAAAUUUUCAUGUUGAAAAACCAAUCAUUUGUAGUUAAGUAGAUUGAUAAGAAUUCGUUUCUUGUGCUUGGUUUUUUAUCCUACUGUUGCACAUGGCCAGACAGCUGGUUGCACAUCAGAUUCAAGAGCUGUAAAUUUUGAGGCUGAGGAAUCUCAGCUGGGAUUUCAUGUGAUAACAUAUUAUCAGAUAGAUCCAGCAACUGCAAUGAAGUAAUGUUGCCAAUUUCCGCAGGAAGCUUGCCUUGAAAGUUGUUCUGAUACAAAAACAUUAUCUCCAAUAGCUCAAGCCUCCCAAGUUCAGCUGGAAUCUCCCCACCAAGAUUACCAACGGCCAAAUCAAGAUACUUCAGGUUGGUAAGAUUCCCAAAUUCCACUGGGAUUUCACCUUCAAAUUCAUUGUAUCCAAGAAUCAUAGUCUCCAUGGAUGAAAGUUGCCCAAGCUCUCGCGGUAUCUUGCCAGUGAGAUUAUUCCCAGAUAGAUUGAUAAGAAUUCGUUUCUUGUGCUUGGUUUUUUAUCCUACUGUUGUACAUGUAAUUGAUUCAUUUGUAAUCUUUGUUGCUUUCAAAGGUAGGCUUCAAUUGAGUUGAAACUUUAAAAAAUUUAUAAAAAAUGAACCGCAAAUAAAAGAUAGCAUCAUAUUGGGUGACAAAAUGUUCUCGAGGAUGAUCCUGAUUAAUGCUGUGUAUUUCGCAAUGUAAUUACUUGCUGAUCAAUUUAAUUGAAUUGAUUAACACAUUGGUUUGAGUUUUGAUACUGCUGCUCUGUUUUUGGGUUAUUUGAAGAUCGCAUUUUUGCAGGAACUGGUAAAUUGGACACGUUAACAAAAACUUCUCACGUAUUACUGAAAUAAUAACUGUUAUAUUUCAGCCCUUAUGCACAGAACACAAUGGUUGCAAGCAAAUCAACUCAUAACUUACACAAUGGUUGCAAGCAAAUCAAUUCAUAACUUGUAAAUAAAUAAACCCCAAAAAAUUGGGCAUUAAUUUCCAUUUUCCAGCAUAUAACAAUUUCUAGCAGCAAGUUUUAACAGCAGAUAACUUCCGACAACAACUCAUCCCAAAAUCAGCAACUCAUAACUCACAACACAAUAGCAUUUUGCUAAUUUCCAAUAGCAAGAUGCGUGAGAGAGACCCACGACGAGAGAAAGCCGAAGGAGAGAGCAGCGAGAUGCGCGAGAGGCCAGAUGAGAGAGACCCACGGUGAGAGAGAGAGCCACAGCCGAAGAGUGACCCACGCUCAAGAGAGAGAGCCACAGCCGAAUAGAGACCCACUCUUGAGAGAGAGAGAGAAAACCAAAGGAGAGAGCAAUCCCACGAUCCGUUUUGUGAGGCGAGUGUGUGAGGAGAGUGUGUUAGUUUUGAAGCUACAGUAUUUUCUUUUAGAGUUAGCACAAAACGAUGGUGCUAACUGCUAAGCGUGGUGCGUUUCUCAUUUUCCAUUCAUGGCCGUAUGCCAAAAGAAUAAAUAGACAGAAAGUAAAUUUACAGUCCUCACUUCCUCACAAUUGUUAACGUGAAGAUGCAUUACAACCGUGAACUGUCACUACUUUAGCCUUUUUUUUUUUUUCAAUUAUGGUGUGAUGGAGACAUUAAGGAUGAGCAUAAAAGUUAAAGAUGACUCAUUUUCUUUUUAAAGUGCUCUGCUGAAAGCCAAACUUCCUUUGGCUAAUUAAUUUAGAAGUAAAGCAGAGAAUAAAGUCUUAGAUGCCUUCUGAAAUUAGAAAUACAUUUUAUAUGCUUUAAUUAUGAUUAUUUGGUAGACUAAAGACCUAAAAGAUAUGUCAAAAGUAUAAAACAGAGCGAUUAAAGAAAAAAAGAAAAAAAAAAAACAGAGUAUUUGUGACGUAGAAUAACAAUUGGUAAAUAAAUCCUAAAUAUUUGAGUUGUUUAAAGCAAAUAUAACAGAGACGGUAAGAGAGAUGCAGAAACAGAAAACUAUUAGCCCUCUAUAUUCAUUUUCGAUGCUUUUCAAUCGAGAUUCUUUUAAUUCUUCUGGUGUCUGCAGCCCCGGCUCCUCUUAUAGAUCUCCAUCCCACAUCUGCACUACGAACAAGUUGAUUAAAGUUAAAUAAUGUUGGAGAUGUGGGGUGAGCCGUCAAUUUGGUAAAAAAUAUUAUGUAUAAUAUUGUUAAUAAUAUAAAAUAUAUAAUAAUAAUUACAAAGAAUCAUAAAUUAGAAAAAUUAAUUAUUUUACAAUCUAUUUCUUAAGUAAGAUAGAUCUCGUAAUAAGUUAAGUUAUAAUGUAAAAAAUAUUUUCAAUUUAUAAUCAUUUAAGAAGUCAUUUAACAAUAAAAUUUUUCUUUUUUUGAUCAAUUGGUCAUGCUACAGAGUAUCAUCUAUAUUCGUAGUGAUAUUAUUAUUACUCCGUAUUCUCAAAAAACCCGAUUUAACAUUUAGAAAAAGUUCCUACCUUUUAAAAAGAACAUGUAUGCAACAGCUACCCAUACUUUAUCUUACCACGACAAAACUAAUAGGGACUAAAUCAAAUUUCUCGAAUAAAGCAAAAUUUCUUAAAAUUAAUUUAAUAUACAAAUAUGAUGACUUUUUGCAAAAAUUAGUUUUGGAAAAUUAGUGACAGAAAAUAGUAACGAUUAUUAUUUAGAUGUGUAAAUAGCCUAAACAUGAUCCCUAGUACCAAUAUCCACGUGCAUCUUAACAUCUUUCGUCAUAUUCUUUCAUUCAUGGCCACUGGUUCAAGAUUUGAAUUUGAUCAUUAAAUCAUGUUCAAUAAUAUUAGAGAUUCCAACAAUUGAGCACCAACUUAAAUCCCAAUGCUAUGUGUCAUUAACAAAUGUUGUGUCAUUUAUAAUUAUUGAAUGAAUAAUUCGUUAAUUUAUUGAUAAACAAAAAUUUAUUAAUUUAAAGAGAGAUUUUUUUUUUUGGUUUUAAGAAGAGUUUUGCUGGUACAUGUACAUACUUAUAAAGAAAUAAACUUGUAAUUAUACUAUAUCUUUCUUUCUUUGUUUAUUUUGGUGGGAUAUUGUGAUAAAUCAUUGGAUUAAAAUGCAUUUAAAAAUAAAACUUGUUAAAAUCUAAUUUAUUUGGAAAACGCAUAUUAUUUGUCAGUCGUACUUCUCAACUUAGCAAGUUAUUUCUAACUUGUCAGUCUCUAUUGGUUCUCUAAAAGCUAAUAGUCUCGAAUCUCCCGGAUUUGAUAUCUUGCCAUUACUGUUGGCAUUAACAUGUUACCUGAGAAAUGAUAUUUUUUGUGGUGUUGAUAAAGAGGUUAAAUAUGAUUCAACAAUUUAAAAUAUGAAAACAUAUGGAAGACGGCCGCAAUUAAAUUGAUUGUAUGAAAAUAUUUCAAUGAAAUUUUAAAAAUUUGGUACUUGUUAUCUUAUCGAGAGUUUUUUUAAAUUAUAUUACUACUUGAACUUAACUGCUUUUGUAUUGAAUUCCUAGCGUUGCCAUUGCUUCUACUCAAAAGCCAUUUAAGUUUGUGUAAGCUACGUAUAGUUUGAACAACAAUUUACUCAUGAAUUGUUGUUCACAAUAGCAAGUCGGGGGUUUAAAUGGAGUACUUCUAAGCAUAAAACAUUGAUUAAAACAGAAUACACACAUACAUACCAGCAAAUUCAAAAUAGCAAAAGGAGUGCAAAAGUUCAAAUUUGUAGACAACAUUGCAACCAUGGCAUGUUUAUAGCAAAUCCUCGAAAUCUGCUAAAUAAAACAAUGCCCUGUCUCAUGAAUCAAUGCUGAAUUAAAAUUGAAACUGAAAGUCUGGCUGGCGUUGUUUCCCUCUCCAAUUUUGCCUACAUAAGUGAAAAUAAGAAUAAUAAAUGAAAAUCUGCUUUUACGGUUCUUAUUAGAUAGAUAAAAGGGGGAUCUUUCUUUGUUUCUCUGCUGCAAAGUGUGGCUAUCCCACUCUGUUUUGCCACCCAAGCUGAGUCUAUGUUGAGACAUAAUUUUGACAUCAGAAGCAAUCUCAAUUAGUUUGGCACUUUUAUGACCUCCUUGAAGGUUUUACGAUAAACAUAAAUCUACUGAGAAAGUGAGAAAAAAAAAGAAAAUGCAUAUAAAAAUAUGAGUUAUCAGAUAAGAUUAAACUUCACCCAAUUCAAUCCAUCAGAUUCCGUAAGGAUAUAACUGGAUUUCAUACCGCCACUCCAUAUCCUCGAAAGUCCGUAGUCCUUGUCUCAACUGUGUCUGGGGCCAGUGUAAGUCCAAUUUGCGCAAGCUCUUUAUGCACCACAGCUCUUCUGGAAGCUUUCUCAAGUAAGCACAUGGGUUGACAAUUAAGCUUUCAAGUUUGGGCAUUGCUCCAGCCCCCAUCGUCCACUCAUCUAGCCAAUACAUUGAUUUGAGGUGCAAAACCUUAAGUUCGGGAAAGCUACUCAAGCCAACACAAGCAAGCUUUCUUCCUAAAUACGAGUUCUGCUUCAGUUUCAGCACUCGAAGGCGUGGAAGAUUUUCCAGAAUUGGCAUGGGAUCCUCCAUUAACUCAGUAUUUGAUAAGCUCAGUUGGAUCAGACUUGGGGGAAAUUGGUAUUCAGACAGGACCAUCCGUGAGGGCUUGCUCUCAUUCACCAGCUUCAAGCAUUCAAGUUUGUGGAGUUCGCAAAGGCUUUUGGAAACCCCAGAUUGAUAGUAACUCAAAUCUCCAGAUAUCCGAAGAGUCUGAACACUAGGUAGUCUGCCCAAUAUAUCAGGAGUACAACUACUAGGGUUUAAAGCUGAUAUGAAAAUGAGAUUUUUCAGAGAGCUAGAAUAAUUUUUUGGAGGUGCGGGCAGAGUGAUAGAACCAAAGUUUAGAUGCAUGAGUUUUUGCAUCAUCCAAAUAUCCUCUGGUGACUGAUCUAUGUAGCUAGAUGGCAUUUCUAGUGUUUCAAGGUUUAAAAGGGUGCAUAGCAGUGAAGGAAGGCAUUUGAGCGAAGGGAUAUUCAAUUUCAAAUACUUCAAAAGAUAUAAAUUUUCUAAUCCGGGUGGAUAUUGGUCCAGGACUGCAGAACCCAAAUUCAAUACCCGAAGGUGUUUGAACUUUUUACAAAAAUUCUCGCAAUCUUUCGGAUUAAGAUGAUCGCUUGCCGAACUGUGAUUCAGAAAAGAUUGGAGAUACAUGUCAGAAUGUUCUAAAGAUAAAAACCCAGUCAGAUCUUCGGCAAUGACGCACCGUUUAACGUUUGCCACUGGCUCCUCUUCCCCGUCAUGCAUCAAGACAAAUUCCGUCUUCUUUGCCACAAAAUACAAUGAAGUAUAUACAAAACUUGGAACAUAACACGCUUUAAUUGUGCCUCCGGCGCUUCUCUUACUCACUUGAAUGAAGCCGCGACGGAUUAGUUCUUUCAUGUAAUGUUCGGCAGUUUCUUCACCGUUGUAUGGUAUGAAACCUUCAGCUACCCACAACUGAUAUAAUUGCUCCGUAGAUAUCUCAAUACUUGGAAGGAAGACACACAAAUAGAUGAAGCAGACUUUCAAGUGAAAAGGUAACUCCAUCACAGAAAAAAUUUGUCUCCAAACUGUCGGAAUCGCUUCGCCUUGAAGAUAAUUUUCUAAUGGCAUACUUCCAUAGUGUAGGAUGAAAAAUUGCCAGGCUUCAUGCUUUAAUCUGAUCAAUGGUCCUCCAAAGAGCACUGAAUCACGCCGAAUCUUCUCUCCGUUUUCCAUUUCUAACGACGCAAGGAGGUGUGGAUCACUGACCAACAUCAAUACUCUGCUUCCAUUCUGAUUAUCAGGAAGAACUUCUUCAAGAUCACUCCAUAUCUCACUGUCAUCGAAGACAUCAUCAAGCACAAUAAAGUACUUCCUGUUUGUUAGGUAAUCUCGAAGAAUAGAUUUCUUCAAUUGAUAAUCUUCCCCGAUAAUUACACUAACCCGAGAUGGAGGCAUCACAGACUUGAUUAUGUCAUCCAAUAUCUUGCCAAAAUCGUAGGUUAUAGAAACCCUGACCCAAGCAAGACAGUCAAAAUAGAACUUGACGUGAUCAUUAUUGUAAGUAUCUGCGGCAAAAACAGUCUUGUCGAAGCCACUGCUGUCGAGAAUUGCAACCACUGCAAGCCCAGAUGGUCCCUCAAUCAAUAGAUCAAACAACUCCUCUCUGCCCCUUUCAAAUUCACUGAUAUCAAGCCGAGGAUGUCCCGCACUCAAUAGGCGAAUGAUUUCGUUACUUUUUUCACUGAUAUCAAAACCAUUGUCGCCGGGUGGAAGUUGUUGCAUCCGAUUUCUAAUAUCAAUGAUUUCACUGUGGAGUCCAUCAAGAAGAGCCAUAUUAGUGCUGCUUUCACUUUCGUUUUCACUGUUUUGCUGCUGCAUGAUGUUGAUGAAGAAUGUGUCAAUGGCUUCCUGUGAGUCACGGACAAAGUUAUUGAUGUCCUCCAGAAUUUCAAAAAUAUCUGCUGUUUCAACGUUUUCUUCAUCGCUUUCUUCUAAGUCCAACAGUUGCAAAAAAGGCAAAGAUAUUUUGGAGUCAUCGAAAUCUUCUCUAAUGAGUUGAAACAAAUGCCGAGCCAUGUCAGCUUCAUAUUUUCCCAGCAGAGUAGUAGCAAUAAUUUCGGACUCCGUAAGAAGGUUUUGAAAAAGUGGAGUUAAAUUUGUUGAAUCUGGCAGCGGCAACGUGCCUUCUUCACCUGCUAACACCCUUCUCAACCUCUCACAAAAUAGUCGGAGGUGGACGUCCAGCAUAUCUCCUUCUCUCUGUAGCACCCAGAGGUAUUGUUUUUUGCUCCAAGAAAUAUUAAAAGGAUUGGUUCUAUCUAAAAGUGGUUACUGGUGUAAAAUUAAACGCCAUGGGAGAAUUUGAAAGGAAGAUGCCAAGGAACUGGCGAAGUGGCUAAAUUCCACAAAUACGGCAUUAUUGCUCAUUUUUAACUCAAAAAAUUGAUACGCGUUCAUUUUGCGAAAAGUCCAAGACGCUUGCCUUUUGAAAAGAAGAGGUAUCCAAUAGAUAUCCAACCUUUAUCUUAUUUUAAUUACUACCACGACAUGAUUGAUGGUGGUUAAAUCAAUUGUUUCUUUUUUAAUUUAAAGAAUUUUUCAUUAAAAAAUAUUUUAAUAUCAAAUUGCCUUCAAUAGCGUAACUGCCGCAAGCCCAGUAACAGGAUUAAUUAAUUUUUUUUGAAUUUUUGGGCAUGGAAAGAGUAGUAUUAGACUUCAGAAAGCUAAGGUUGUUAUGUUAAAGAAUUGAUAUUGACAUAAUUUUAUUUUGGCUUUCGGGGAAAAAAAUAUUUGCUGACAAGCAAGAAAAUAUUUUUGUAUUUUACAAUUUAUUAUACAUAUUUGAUCAUAUUAAAGUAAUUUUAAUAAUAAAUAGACACAUAAUAUUACAAUAAAUAAAGUAAAGUUUAAAUUAUUUUGAAUAUUAUAAAAAAAUAAUUUUAAUAUUAUUAAUAGGAAGACAUUUUGUUAAUUUUAAAAUCUUUUUAACCUAAAGGUUUAUUUAAAAUCUUUAGAAAUCUCCAUCCCACAUCUACCCUAUUAAACAAGUUGAUGGAAAUUGAACAAUUGCUUUUUAAAGUGGGACCCAUUGAGUUAUGUUCAUUACUGGUCAUUGUCUAUUCUUUCUAAGAGCCACUUGUUUUGAGCAUUAGCAAUCCUAUCUGGACUACUCCAAUUAUUGAUGUAACUCCAAUGGUUGCAUCGACAGUUGAAUAUAAGAGGAUGGUCCAUCGACAAUUUCUUUGUUUCUCCGUUGCAGCGUAUUAGUAUAAAUUUCUUUACCUAACAGUUCAUACAGUCUUCCUGUUAAUGAAUUCACUGAGGCAUUAUUGAUACAAUGUGCUUUUCGCUAAUUAAUUAUGAUUAUAUACGCUUUCAUAUAGCAAGUGGCAUUGUAGAUCUAAACUAAGUUGCUAUUUCAAUACGUUAAUUAAGUGAUUCUCCUCAUUGUCAUCAGCAUUAUACCCUCUAGGAAAAUAGCUCAAUUGUUUCUCUGCAUUGAUUUUCAUUGGUAAGUGAUUUCUUAUGAAAUUCUUUUGAGCUUUCCUUAUUAAAAAUGCUUGAGCUUUUAUCACCUAAUACGGAUAUCAAUUAACUUGUGAACGAUUUUGUAAUGAAACUAGGAGUUAAAUAAGAUUUUUACAUGAUGAUCAACUUGUUAAUUUUGUAUAUUUCAUAUUCAACAGGAUUUGGGCACGGAACGUUUGGAUUCUAAUAUUUAUAUAUUUAGUUUUAAUCAGUUUGACUUUCGUAAUCUUUCUCGCCUCAUCAUUAAGGGAUUAAGAAUUAGAGAAACAUUAGAAACAGGAAGAAAAUAACUUCAGAAAUAAGUAAGAGGGAAUCCAAUGAGAAAUAUGAUAAGAGAACGUCAAUUACUUGUCAUUUUCUAUUUUUUCUAUGAGAUAUUUAUUUUGAGCAUUAGUUAUAGCAAAUCCUUGAAAUCUACUAAACAAAACAAUGCCCUGUCUCAUGAAUCGAUGUUGAAUUACAGCUGAAAUUGAAAGUCUGGCACCAGUUAUAGCAAAUAUUGAAUUACAAUAUUUCCCUUGCCAAACCGUACCUGCAUGUGGCAACGUGCCUUCUUCACUUGCUAACACCCUUUUCAACCUCUCACAAAACAGUCGGAGGUGGAAUUCCAGCAUAUCUCCUUCUCUCCGCAGCACUCAGAGGUAUAGUUGAAAGAUUAAACACCAUGGAAGAAUUUGAAAGGAAAAUGCCAAGAAACUGUGUAAGUGGCUAAAUUCCACAAAUAUGACAUUAUUGCUCAUUUUUUAACUCAAAAAAAGGGUACGCGUUCAUUUAGAGAAAAGUCCAAGACGCGUGCUUUUUAAAAAGAACAGGUAUCCAACCUCUAUCUUAUUAAAUUACAACCAUGACAUAAUUGAUGGUGCUUAAAUCAAUUGUUUCUUUUUUAAUUUAAAGAAUUUUUCAUUAAAAAAAUAUUUUAAUAUCAAAUUGCCUUCAGUGGCGUAACUGCCUCAGGCCCAGUAACAGGACUAAUUAAAAAUUUUACAAUUUUUGGGCAUGGAAAUAGUAGUAUUAAACAUUAGAAAGGUAAGGUUGUUCUGUUAAAGAAUUGAUAUUGACAUAAUUUUAUUUUGGUUUUCGUGGAAAAAAAAUUUGUUGACAAGUAAGAAAAUAUUUUUAUUUUUAUAAAAUUUAUUAUGCAUAUUUAUCAUAUUAAAGUAAUUUUAAUAAUAAAUAGAAACAUAAUAUUACAAUAAAUAAAUCAAAGUUUAAAUUAUUUUGAAUAUUAUAAAAAAUAAUGUUAAUAUUAUUAAUAGGAAGACAUUUUGUUAAUUUUAAAAUCUUUUUAAUCCAAAGGUUUAUUUAAAAUCUCUAUAAUAAAUACAAAUAUAAGAUUAAAAUAAAAAUCAUAAUUUGAAAAUUUUAAUAUUAUUUUAAAUGUUAAAUAUACUUUAAUGUUAUUAGCCUACUACGUAAAUUUUAUUAUUUAUAUUAUAUUCGUAUUGAUUAAAAUUUUUUAAAGUCAAUUUUUUAGUUAGUACAUUCACGAGGUAUAAUAGUUAAAGAAAAAAUUUUGGUGCAACUGUUUUAAAAUUUCAGGGUAUAAAUGAUAAUUUUUUUAAAAAUUUUAAGUAGGUAUUAUUUUUCCGACAAUUUAUUUUAUUGAGGGAAACCCGAUGAGAAAUAUCAUCAGAGAACAUUAAUUUAACAUUCUUUACCUUUAUGAAAAAAGUGGAAACCAAGAACUAUUCAAUUUUUUUUUUUUUGUGUAAUUCAAAAAAUGCAUCCACCAAACAAGCUUAUCUUAAUUUUCCCACUUUAUUCAUUUUCGAUGCUUUUCAAAAGAGGUUCCUUUAAUCCAUCUAGCAUCUGCAGCCCCCACUAUUUUUACAAAUCUCCAUCCCACAUCUACACUAUCAAAAAAGUUGAUGGAAAUUGAACCCAUUAAUUAAGUUAUGUUCAUUACAGGUCAUUAUCUUUCUAUGAGCCACUUAUUUUGAGCAUUAGCGAUCUUAUAAGGAAUCAUGCCUUUUCCGGAUCGUUUUCUUUCAUUUCCUUAUUGACUUAUUGUAGUAGUUAAUUAAAUAAAGAACGAACAAGUGAACUUAAUUUGUCUAUUUCGAGGAAGAACAAGGUUUCCAAUACUAGAGGAACUUUGAAGAAAAUUAAUUGGAAGCCUUUAUUCAUCUUUGAAGAAAAUUACCACACUUUAAAUCCUGGAUUAAAAAAAAUUUAUUCAUCUUCGGACUAUGAAUUUAUAAAAUAAUAUUGCUAGGACUAAGAAAAAAAUAUUAUUUUAGAUACGUUAUUUAUUUAUUAUUGAAUGAAAAAUUUAUCAUGAUAAAUAAAAUUUCUUAAUUUAAAGAGAGAUUUUUUUUUUGGUUUUAAGAAGAGUUUUUUUGGUACAUGCACACACUAAUAAAGAAACACAAAAAGUGCUUCCUCAAGUCAAUAGUAUUUACUUUAAUCGCUAAGGUGCAUAAUAAUGUAGCUUAGUUAGGAAAUUUGUAAUUACAUUAUGGCUCCGUUUGGUAUAACUUUUUAAUUAGAACUUAUUUAAAGAGAAUUUAUAUUAGUAGAGUUUUUAUAAAUAGAGAUUUUUUUUAUAAAAAAAAUUAUAGUUAUUUAGUUAUCAAUGUCCAAAUUGAUGAAGUAUUGUUCUUUUUAUUAACAUGUGUUUGUUUUACUUAAUAAUAAAAGUUUAGUUUACAAUUACACCGGUGUCAAAUCAGCAGAGCAUCGGCAAGAGUUUUCGAUUGUUGCAAUUUGCAAUGCACGCGGUGAGAGAAAAUGAGAAUCUUGUUUAAUUGUCAAUAAUGACAAACCUAAUCCUUUCAUUAGGAGUAAAUUAAUAAUCGUUGGUUAUAAUUGAAUAUGUAUAAAGAAAGGAAAAUUAUAUUCAUAGAUUUGACUUAUUUUUUAUUUAACGUAACUAAUCAUUCAACCAUCUUCGUUUGCCUCUGGCCAAUGCCCUUGUAGAUUAGUUGAAGCGUUAAUUACAUAAUUCAGAUAAUUACAACGUCCUUUUCGCUAAUUAAUUAUGAUUAUGUACAUUUUCAUAUAGCAAGUGGCAUUGUAGAUCUAAACUACGUUGCUAUUUCAAUACGUUAAUUAAGUGAUUCUCGUCAUUGUCAUCAGCGUUAUAAACAGGAAUUAUGCAAACAGUACACAAUGCUGCAGCAAGGCGUGGUUGGCUAGAGUUUUGCAACCACCCUCGAGAUCAUGUGCUGCCAGUAGUAAAAGAAUUUUACGCCAAUUUGGUAAGCCUUGGUCAGCACAAUAUUUGGGGUAAGAAACUCACUUGUUCCAUUAGACUCUCGAGUUAUAAAUGUUUUUUAUAAUUUACCUGCUGAAAUUAAUUGUGAGUAUGCCAAGUUGCUUGACAAAUUGACCUCACAACAAUGGAACACAAUUUUCACGACACUUACAGUAGAGGGUGCAUCGUGGGCUAAUGAGGAGGGGCGUGUAAUUAACAGGAUAGAUUUAAAACUCAUUGCUAAGGUGUGGGUGAAAUUUCUGAAAUCUAGGCUUAUGCCAACCAUCCACACCAUUACUGUUUUACAGGAAAGGUUGGUGCUGUUACAUGCUAUUGUUAGAGGGCUUUCCAUAGAUGUGGGAAGUAUUAUCGAAAAAGAAAUUCGAGAUUGUACCAUGAAAAACCACAAGGUUGUUGCCUUGUUAUUUCCUUCACUCAUAACCAGCAUAUGUGUAGUAUCGGGUGUUCAUCUUGAUGCAAAGGAUAAAAUUUGUAAUUAUAUUAUGGCUCCAUUUGGUAUAACUUUUUAAUUCGAACUUAUUUAAGGAGAUUUUUAUUAGUAGAGCUUUUAUAAAUAGAGAUUUUACUAAAAAAAAAUUAUAGUUAUUUAGUUGUCAAUGUCCAAAUGGAUGAACUAUUGUUCUUUUUGUUAACAUGUGUUUGUUUUACUUAAUAAUAAAAGUUAAGUUCACAAUUACACCGGUGUCAAAUCAGCAGAGCAUUUUUGCAGGGGUAAAAUCUCAUUUAGUCCCUAUAUUUUAAGCUUAGUAUCCAUUUGGUCCCUAUAUUUUUAAAAAUACCUCAAAACAUCCCUACCGUUAAAGUAUUGAUACCCCUACCGUUAAAGUAUUGAUACCCCUACCGUUAUCUUUAAUUUAUUUUGGCUUACUUUUACAAUAUUACCCUUUUAUAAUAAUUUUUUUAGACAUGAAUAAAAAAUAAUAAUUAAAUUACCAAUUUAACCCAAAAAAAAUUAAAAAAAAAAUUAUAUUAAUUUUUUUUGCAAACACCAUUUGCACACUUGAUAGUUUGCAUACAAUUUUAGAUAAUUAAAUUUCAACACAAGACUGAGUUUUUCAUCAUUCAAACUUCUCAUGUCUAAACUUUAUUUAUUGAGGUGCUAAAAGAUAAAUAUAUUGGCAAUUGGGAAAUGAAGUCAAUGAUAAGUUUGAUACAACCGUUGAUUAAAUAUCAUUAAAAAAAAAAAAGUACCUACAACUAGAAGUUAAAAAAAAAUGUCACCAUAGCCCACGUAUAAAUCCAUUUUGUAGUGCGUCAAAACUUAUGAAUAUCCUCUUGAAGUACGUCGCUACACCUUAUGUUUCAUAUUGAAUUUUCACCAUUGCCCUUUUAUUCUUUAUAAGAAGAACGUUGGCAUAGUCAUGUAACUUUGCAUAAGAUUUUGUGUAGUCACUAUCAGCAAUUUUUAGAACCCUUUUUUUGGCCAUAUACAGCCUUUUCUUUGUAGUUGAACAAGAAAACCUCUUCCUCAAUUCAUCUGACAUGGAUUCACAACCGAUAUCAGGAUUAAAACUAAUAAAACCAUACAAUUUCUGAGCUAUCCAUCUACUAGUUACUUCAGGAUUCUUAAACAGCUCUUUGCACUUAUGUUCACCACCUUUUAAAGUUUUAAUCUGGAAUGUAACUUUGUCAACCAAUAAAGAUGCAUGGAUUCUCCAUGGACAUUCCUUUCCUUCUUUGUCCUUCCCAGCACACACGGCUGUAACUCUACAUUUGUCAUUCUUUUUCCUUUUCAAAACUCUUGACUCUUGAAUAGCAUAAUCCUUCAAUACAUUCUUAAACUCUUGAGCACAACUAAAAGUUUGCCCAACUUCCAAAACAAUAUCAUCAUCACCAUCGGGUUCUUGAACUUUUUUUUCUUAAAUCCCUUUUCAUCUUCAAUAUUAUAGCGUCAUCUUCUUCAUCACUUGUAAUAGAUACAUCUUCAUUAUCACUCUCACAAUCUGACAUGCCAUCAUCUCCAUCAAAUUCAUUAAUAUCAAACCCUAAAUCAACUUCAGGUUCACUAUCAGACUUAACAAUAUCACCAAUAUCUUCAUCAGACCAGUCAAUAGACUCAACACUGAUUGCAUCAUCACUUUCACCAUCUAAAAUACAAACAUUAACUGCAUUUGAGGCAAAAUGAUUAUCUUCAGGGCGAGUUUGAGCUAAAACGGGUGACAAGCUGGCCAAGGAUAACGCAUCCAUCUCCAAAUUAAUAGAAUUAAGACCCUUGGCUUGAAUUAAGUUAACCAAAUUCUGGAAGUCUUUAUCAUUAUUCAAUUCAAUCCCUUCAUUGGACCAUGGGACAAUGCCAGUAAGCUUAAAGCUCUCAUCAUAAUGCUUGUGCCUUCCAAAGACAUUAUUCAAGACAUCGUUGAUGAGGGAUACAAGAAUCAAGCAAUCAGGAUCAUAAGCAUCCUCCACAUCUUUGCCUAAAAAUCGAACUGAAAUGCUGAUUUGACUCAUUUUGAAUCUGCCAACAUAAAGAUGAACAAAAAAUAUCAGAAACUUAAAACUAUUACAUACGAAAUCAUAAAAUACAAAAUCGACAUUAUAGAACUUUAUAUGAUUAUGAUUUUUUUUUACAAAAAAAUACUCAAUCAAGUGAAGUUAAAAUAAUUUCUUUUCGAUUACAAAUCAAUUCCACUACCAAUAUUAAGCUACGAAACAACCAUGAAAGGGUUAAAAAAAAGAAAGAAAGAAAACAAAAACCGUUCAACUUUUAGUCUACUGCAAAACAAAAACCGUUCAACUUUUAGUCUACUUCAUAUGGAAUUUUAGUCUUGGGAAGAAAUACCCAUUCAAGUGGAAAAAAAAAUAAUUUCUUUUCAUUGAACACAUGGAAGAUUAAAAAAAUAAAUAAAUAAACAAGACCAAUGUGAGACGUACCAGAAUAGGCCAAUUUCCUUCGUUGUCGGUUUUGACAUCUACUGCAAGACUACGUUUCCAAUAGAAAAAAUUUUACAGCAAUAAAAUUGUUAUGAGUUUUAAAAAAGCAAGUCACUUAAGUUCUUAAAGCGAGGGUUUUAAAGAAUAUUAGGGUUAAAAUACGUUUUUGCGAUUAUGGAUCUAGGUUAUCGUAAUAAUUUUUUAAAAUUUUAAAUUUUACCAAGAAAAAUACAUUUUUACCCUCAUUAAUCUAGAAUUAACAGUAACGGAGGUGAUGCUAAGGGUGUUUUGAGGUAUUUUUAAAAAUACAAUGACUAAACAGACAUUAAUCUAACGCUUUUUCUCCCAUGUAAAUUCUUAAUGUCGUUUUUCCAUAGUAUAGGAUGUAAAAUUGCCAGGAUUCAUGCUUUAAUCUGAUCAAUGGUCCUCCAACGAGAACUGAGUCAGGAUGAAUCGUCUGUCCAUUUUCCAAUUCGAACGAGGAAAGGAAGGCUGGAUCAGUGACCGUUAUAAUUACUCUACUUCCAUUCUGAUUCUCAGGAAGUACUUCUUCAAGAUCAUCCAAUACGUCGUCACCCUCUUUGUAGUAAUCAUCAAGCACAAUAAAGUACUUCUUGUUUGUUAGGUAAUCUCGAAGAAUAGAUUUCUUCAAUUGAUAAUCUUCACCGAUAACUACACUAACCCGAGAUGGAGGCAUCACAGACUUGAUUAUGUCAUCCAAUAUCAUGCGAAAAUCGUAGGAUAUAGCAACCCUUGUUAGGAAAUUGAGCUUCCUCCCAAGAUCACUCCAAGCAAUUUAUCAAGCAACAAAUUAACAGAAAAAUUUAAUGGAGAAUACAUCAAUCACACAACACAAGAUUUACGUGGAAAACUCUAAAUCCGGAGAAAAACCACGGCCGUUGUCAAAAAGACAACCAGAGAAAAUAUUCACUAUAUGGAAAAUUAUUACAACCACACUCUCAAAAAUAAUUUUCUCUCACCCAAGCCCCAAAUACAUAAUCCUGAGAAAUAUCCCUUAACAAAGCAAACCCGUAAUACCCAUAUUACGGAGCCAAAUGCUCCUUCAAUAUAACUACAUGCUUAAGAACUUUUCUCUCUCUCAAUUUCUCACCAAAACUUGGAUUCCUUCUCUGGGAUUUGGAUUGCUUCUCUCAAUGGCCAACAGUUCAUGUCUAUUUUCUUUAGCAAAGCCGAAGCUCAUUGCUACUCAUUUCUCAUCAAAUGACAUUCCAAUUUAUAGCCAAACUAUCACACCAAAAAUCUAAUAAGUCGGCAACAACUUUCUUCCUUUUUUACAAAUUCAUCAUGCGGUUCAAAAUUGGCAUUUUGCUUGUCAAAGUCCAUCCACCCAUUUGAAUGCAAUCAAUGUGUUCCCAUUUCACUUUUCCUUUUUUUUUAAUCAAUUUCAACAAUCUCCACCUUGAUUAAAAAAAAAAUUCAUAACUACUGCUACAAAACACUGUCUUCACCAACAGUCAUAAUUCUUAACAUAGAGAAUUAUCAUACUCCACCAUAAAGAGUAUACCACUUAGAAACAACCAUUCUAAGAUUUUUCUCGGCACAUGUCAAAAUAUCUUGCUGAAAUUUAUGGUACAAUUCUCAUGCUUGGUUUCCCUAAGAAUUCUUCAGCCAUGACAUAACUUUUCCACUACACACCUUGCAUUUAUACCAAGCCAAUGCCCGCGUGCAAACUUGUGGACCCCGCUGAUCAUAGCAUGUUCUCUUUCAUGACAACUUGGAGAUUUACAUGCCAAAAGAACUAACCCAAUCUCCUAUCAAAAGGAAACUCACAAUCUACGAGAAUAUCAUUAUCUCCUUUACUGAUUCUGGAGUAAUUUGCCGAGCCCACUCCACCUUCUUGACAAUUUUCUUGAGGUGCCAAAAAUUGUCUCACACCUUCAAAUCUUUGUGCAUACCAGAUUGGAUACACCUUUGACUUGAAUUCUCCACAAGCCAAUAAAAUCAUUCUUCCAUUAAUUUUUUUUUUUAACAACAUCAAACUCCACCAAGUUUAAAAAACACCAGCUACUGACAUAUAUGCUUUACAUAAACAGUAUCGUAUACCCCAAGUACAAACCGUUGGCUCUGAUACCACUGUUAGGAAAUUGAGCUUCCUCCCAAGAUCACUCCAAGCAAUUUAUCAAGCAACAAAUUAACAGAAAAAUUUAAUGGAGAAUACAUCAAUCACACAACACAAGAUUUACGUGGAAAACUCUAAAUCCGGAGAAAAACCACGGCCGUUGUCAAAAAGACAACCAGAGAAAAAUAUUCACUAUAUGGAAAAUUAUUACAACCACACUCUCAAAAAUAAUUUUCUCUCACCCAAGCCCCAAAUACAUAAUCCUGAGAAAUAUCCCUUAACAAAGCAAACCCGUAAUACCCAUAUUACGGAGCCAAAUGCUCCUUCAAUAUAACUACAUGCUUAAGAACUUUUCUCUCUCUCAAUUUCUCACCAAAACUUGGAUUCCUUCUCUGGGAUUUGGAUUGCUUCUCUCAAUGGCCAACAUUUCAUGUCUAUUUUCUUUAGCAAAGCCGAAGCUCAUUGCUACUCAUUUCUCAUCAAAUGACAUUCCAAUUUAUAGCCAAACUAUCACACCAAAAAUCUAAUAAGUCGGCAACAACUUUCUUCCUUUUUGACAAAUUCAUCAUGCGGUUCAAAAUUGCCAUUUUGCUUGUCAAAGUCCAUCCACCCAUUUGAAUGCAAUCAAUGUGUUCCCAUUUCACUUUUCCUUUUUUUUUAAUCAAUUUCAACAACCCUGACCCAAGCAUGACAGUCAAAAUAGAACUUGACAUGAUUAUUGUUGUAAGUAUCAGCAGCAAAAGCAGUCUUAUCGAAGCUACUGCUGUCGAGAAUUGCAACCACUGAAAGCUGUGGUUGUCCCUCAAUCAAUAAAUCAAACAACUCCUCUCUGCCGUUUUCAAAUUCACUCUUAUCAAGCUGUGAUUGUCCCUCAAUCAAUAAGUAAGUGAAUUCGUUCCUUCGUUCUCUGAAAUCAAAACCAUUGCCUUCAGGUGGAAUUUGUUGCAACCGAUUUCUAAUAUCAAUGAUUUUACUGUGGAUUCCGACAAGAAGAGCAAUGCAAGUAGUGCUUUCACUUUCACUGCUUUGCUGCUGCGUGAUGUUGAUGAAGAAUGUGUCAAUAGCUUUCUCUGAUUCACGGACAAAGGAAUUGAUGUCUCUCAGAAGUUCCCAAAUGCCGAUAACGCGAAGGUAUUUCGUCUUCAUCGAAAUGUUCUCUAAUGAGUUGAAUCAAAACCCGAGCCAUUUCAGCUUCAUAGUUUCCCAGCAGAGUAGUGGCUAUAAUUUCGGACUCCGUAAGAAGGUUUUGAAAAAGUGGAGUUAAAUUUGUUGAAUCAGGCAAAGUUAACGUGCCUUCUUCACCUGCUAACACCAGUUUCAACCUCUCACAAAAUAGUGUGAGGUUAAUUUCCAUAUCUUUCCCUCUCUCAGUAGUACUCAGAGGUACGUAUUGUUAUUUGUUAGUGUUGAUGACGAAAGCUGAAUAACAAAACAACAGUGUACACAAUCAACAGAAGCCAAAGUAUGUUAAUUUGAGAUCAAAGGAUAUAAAUAAAGGAAAAGUUUUCGUCGAUUGAGAAUGGAUGGAUGCAAAGAAUGACUGAUAUUAAAUGAUUUCUAUAAAUGAGACAUGCAAAGAAUGAAAUUUAAAGGUAACCCCCUUUUUUUUUUUUUUAAAGUACUCUAUUGAAAGCCAAAGUUCCUUUGGCCAAUUAAUUUAGAAGUGAAGGAAAGAAUAAAGUUAGUCCUUGAUGUCUUUUGAAAUUAGAAAUACAUUUUGAAUGCUUUAAUAGAUGCAGAGCAAACUGGCUCGAUAUCUACCUAUUUUUAGUGCUAAAAUCAUUUAAUAGAAGUUGUAGCAUUAAAAAAAAAAAAAAAAAAAAACUGGCUUGAUAUCCAAUUUUGUUAUUGAAUAUGUCUCAUGUGAGAGUAAAAAAAAACUGGCUUGAUAUCCAAAAUUUAAAGGUAACUCCUUGAAUUUGAUUGAAAAAUUAUUGAGACGGACAAGGCUGGACCAUUGUUCGAGACUGAAACUACACAUCAGUCUUAGAAAAUUGUAAUUUUGUUGGCUUAUCAUGAUUUUGAUCGUCUCACAUUGAUUUUCCUAUGAUGUCUCUGUCGAGUGGCUAUGCUUACAUUUUUAGGUAUUUAAUUCUAAAAAUUAACUUAUUAAAUGGAGGGACCAAUUCUACCUAUAAAUCCAAGUGGCUUCCCUUUACUAACUCAUAUGAGAUACAACAAUAAUUUUCUUUGGACAAAACCACUGUUGGAGGGUUAUUUUCGUUCAACAUACAUGAGUUGUUCCACCACCAUAUUUUGAGGGUUUGUUUUGGAUAUGACUUGGGGGAGCUAAGGCUAAGAUUUCUAAGUAUCAACAUAAAAACCUUGCCGGAAGGACCAAUCCUACUUUAAAGUCUAAAUGACUAAUUCUUGAGGACACAACUCAACAGCCCAAUAUAAACUUUUGACGUCCCAUUUUAUUACUUUCCAGUGCUUUUACUUUUGCUGUCUAGAGCCCUACCAUGCUAUUAAGCAGAAAAUAUUUCAAGGCACUCUCGGUCCAGUAGAUAACUUUGGUAUUUAUCAUCUAUUUUCUUUCCAUUUUAUGCAUACCCCGAUCUUUACCUCUGAUUGGUUGUAGAUUCUUUUGUUGCUUUGGGGUUAGGGGGUGGUUUUCAUAACUAUUCAGUUGAUCAAUGCAGAAAAUCACCAUCAAGAAAUUAUAAAGGAUUGUUAGUUCUAUCUGACAAACAACAUUAAUAUGAAGGAUGAUGAUUGUUCUGUUCAAGAGUUUAUAAUGACAUAAUUCUACUUUGGUCUUUUAAAAAAAGUAAUUUAGAAACGAGGAGUAUGUGAGUGAUGAUUUUUACAAAAUAAAUUACAUGCGUAGUGAUGAUUUUGACACAUGAAAAUGAAAAAAGAAAUAUAACUUGUGAAUAAUAAUUGAAGUACCUGCUAUUGUUAUAUUGAGUAAUCAAGGACUUCAAUAUUCGGACGAUAUAAGCAACACAAUCAAAUAUUAGUUGGAAGGCAUAGCAAAAUUAGAAUGUAGAACAAACUGGGUAUUGAUAAAUGGAUGGUUUUGGAAGAAUUGAAAAUGAUGGCAUAAGUAAACCAAAGUUUAGAGAAAAGAGAAAGAGCAUUUGAACUUUACUUGUAAGAAAAGGCAAAUAUCUUGGUUCAAGAAAAGAUAAGAGAUAUCAAACUAGCAAUAGGAAAAAGGAGGAAGGUUAAGACAGCAUCUUAACAAAAGCUAAAGAAAAGAAAAACUUAGUUCAAGCAAAGAACAAUGUGCUAAUGUCGUGUAAUCUUGUUUAAUUUCUUUUUCUUCUCACAUUUUCCAGGGCUUAAAUAAUACAAUAUACAUUUUCAAGCAAAGAACAAUAUGCAAUUGCAGUACUUCUGAGCACACAACAACAAAUAAAUAAUACAAUAUACAUACCCACUAAAUUAAAAAAAAAAUAUUAUCCAAGUUUGUGGACUAUAGCCAUGGCGUCGUCGAAAUCUACUGACAGCUGAAACAAAGAAAGAAUGGAUGAAUGCUGGAUCACAGUUGAAAUUGAAGGUCUGGUAGGUGAUGUUUCCCUCUCUGAUUUUCCCUAAACAAAUACAAGAAAAUAAGAAUCACAAAUGAAAAUCUGCUAUUACACUGUUCUUACUUAUUAAAAUACAGAGGUUUCUUUGUUUCUCUGCAGCAAUGUCCAUGGCUAUUAGAAACAAGAACAAUUAGACCAGCAUUUGUAAGAAUCCUUUAAGGUAUUACUGCAGAUAUAAAUCGACUGAGGAAAUGGAAAAAUUGAAUACCAAAUUAGGCAAGUUAACUGAAGAUUGAGUUAAUCAUAGAAGAAUAAAACUCAUCCAAUUCAAUCCAUCAAAUUCCAUAAGGGUACAACUGGAUGUCAUACUGCUGCUCCAUAUCCUCAAGAGCCCGUAGAUUUUGCCUCAACUCUGGCUGAGGCCAAUGUAAGUCCAAUUUGCAAAAGCUCUUUAUGCACCAUAGCUCUUCAGGAAGCUUUCUCAAGUAAGCACAAGGGUUGACAAUUAUGCUUCCAAGUUUUGGCAUUGCUCCAGCCCCUAUCGUCCACUCCUCUAGCAAAUACAUUGAUUUCAGGUGCAAUACCUUGAGCUCCGGGAAACCACAAGAGCAAACACAAGCCAGUUUUCUUCCUGAAUAUGAGUUCUGGUUCAAUUUCAGCACUUGAAGGUGUGGAAGCUUGUCUAGUGUUAGCAUGGUAUCCUCCAAUAACUCAGUAUUUGAUAAGCUUAGAUGGAUCAGACUUGGAGAAGCUGGUAUUUAGACAGGGCCAUCCGAGAGAGCUACCACCUCUGGUUUCGUUCACCAGCUUCAAGCAUUCAAGUUUGUGUAGUUCGCAUAGGCUUUUGGAAACCCCAGAACGAUAAUAACUCAAAUCUCCAGAUACUAAGAGUUUGAAAAUGAGGUAGUCUG
RNAcentral lists this long non-coding RNA (48320 nucleotides) under Citrus maxima (pomelo). RNAcentral describes it as "long non-coding RNA (CMAX_LNC001223)". Lineage: Eukaryota; Viridiplantae; Streptophyta; Magnoliopsida; Sapindales; Rutaceae. The record is from RNAcentral.